UUUUUUUUUGUUUUCUCAUUUUUAAACAAACACACGAGAAGAAUGCAAGAAAAAGAAAUAAACUAGCAUAGAUGAUACAAUGGAAGAGUGUGAACACCGACUAUCAAAGUGAAUGUGUGAGCAUGAAUAUAAAGUCGGUGAGAGACACGUACUCCCCCAAGCUUAGGCUUUUGGCCUAAGUUGGUCUAGUUCGACGGCUGGUGCGGGCGAUAUCCAAAAUCACAAUGGGGGUUGUACUCGGACGCGGCAGCUACCGCCUGAAUAGCUGCCUCACGAAGGCGAGCAGCCUUCACCUCCCUCUCAUACUCCUCUGCCUCUCCUCUGGUUAUGUAAUAUCUCCGUUUUCCGUGAAAGUCGAAGAAGGCAGGAGCAGGAAGGGUAAUAUGGAAAAUACGUUGUCGGUUAAAUAUUAACCGGUAUAGGAGGGAUUCAUUAUCCCUCUCAAGGAACUAAUAAUGUAUCAUAGUGGCGCGAUCAAGGAAAGUUGUGUGGAGCGGGGGAUGUCCUAUGCGGAUGGGUAUUCCAAGAGAAUUUGCUAUGCAAGUGGCAUAGAUCCCACUGAACAAAUCCCCUUCAUUAGCAUUAUUAUUUAGCCUCCUAGCAAUUAUAGCUCCCAUGUUGAAACUUCUAUCACCCGUUACUGCGCUCUUAAGAAUACUAAGCUCAGGUGCGCACAGGUGACUAUAGUCAUGACUGCCGUUAAUGCAUCUACCUAUGAAGAGGGCAAAAUAAUGUAAGGCAGGAAUAUGAAUGCUCCCCAUGGUAGCCUGCGUAAUAUCUCUAGUUUUCCAACAGUUAUACUAGAAAUAAAAUCUCUAACCAAAGACUUAGGAGGGUCAUUGGGACUACCCCAAUCAGGUAUGCUGCAUAAUCUAUUAAAAUCCUCUAAAUCCAUAAUAUACGAUUUGUCAUAAAGAUCAAACAGUAUGGAUGUGUCACGACCAACUCAAAAUUUGAAUCUACGAACAAAAGAGGCAGUGAGUGUAGUAUACUGUUCACAUUUAUUGGAGAUGAAUUCUUCGAGCACGGCAUUGCGAACAAAUGUAUCAAACUCGUCCUUGAAACAUGCAUCAAUCAUGAAUUCAUCGGAAGGCCAUUCACAUGGUUGCACCGGUGCGUUCCUCGGUUGUUAAGGAUCGGGCUCCCGAAUCGCGAGACGGGGACCCCUUUUGCUUGAGGAACCACCAUGAUAGUUCUUCCUGGACAUCUUCCUUUUUCUAAAAUAAUUCUGAAAUGUUUAGUGACUCGAAAUAAAAGUGAACAAAUUUUAACAAAACUCAUAGCAACUACUCCUGCAAGUGCCUAGAGGCCAUAUCAUGCAUCAAAACUACUUGGGACCAACUAAAAUUAACAUGCAAAGCUCAAGAACAGGGUCACCAGGGCAGCAAUAAUAUGCAAUGAAUAAAGCACUAGAAUAAAAACUAAUUGGACCAAUGGAGGGGUCACAUACCAAGGAACAAUUCCCCAAAACAGUUUGGUGAUUGGGGCUUUGCACAAGGAGAUCGAAAAAUGCAGCAAAAUGAGCAAGAACGCGGGUUUGAGGUGUGGAAUGAUUUUUUCGGGAGGUAGACGAAGAAUACGGGUGCUGGAAUAAGUGGAGGGGGGUCGUGUGGGACCCACGAGCCUGCCAAGCGCGCCCAGGGGGGCGCCUCCUGGGCUCGUGGCCCACUGGUGCAUCCCUCUGACUAGUUAUCUAUCUCAGAAAUUCUUAAAUAUUCCAGAAAAAAUCAUACUUGAAUUUCAGGACAUUUGGAGAACUUUUAUUUUUGGGUCAUUUUUUAUUGAACGGAUAAUGCAGAAAACAGGAAAAUAAUGUUAUGUUUAUUAUUUUUCUACUAAAUAACAGAAAGUAAAAGUUGGGAACAGAAGGUUGUGCCUUCUAGAUUCAUCCAUCUCAUGGUCAUCAAAAGAAAUCCGUCAAUGAGGUUGAUCAAGUCUCCUUGACAAACUUUUUUCGAAUCACAUAAAACCGGAGAAUUUUCAAAUAAUCACUAGGUUACCUCAACGGGUGUGUGCAUAUCCCCAAUAACAAGUAUAUCAUUUUUCAUUUUGACAGUAGGUAUAGGGAAUUCAAAGCUUCCAAUAAUAAUUGAUGAAGAUUUUUCAAUCGCAUUUAUGCAAUGAACUCGAUAUUGUUUCUUCGGAAAGUGCACCGUGUGCUCAUUAUCAUUAACAUGGAAAGUGACAUUGCCUUUGUUGCAAUAAAUAACAGCCCCUGCAGUGUUUAAAAAGGGUCUUCCAAGGAUGACCGUCAUGGCAUCAUCCUCGGAAAUAUCAAGAAUAACAAAGUCCGUUAAGAUAGUAACGUUCGCAACCACAACAAGCACAUCCUCGCAAAUGCCGAUUGGUAAAGCAGUUGAUUUGUCGGCCUUUUGCAAAGAAAUUUCAGUAGGUGUCAACUUAUCCAAUUCAAGUCUACGAUAUAAAGAGAGAGGCAUAACACUAACACCGGCUCCAAGAUCACAUAAAGCAGUUCUAACAUAAUUUCCAUUAAUGGAGCAAGGUAUAGUGGGCACUCCGGGAUCACCUAGUUUCCUAGGAGUCCCACCCUUAAAAGUGUAAUUAGCAAGCAUGGUGGAAAUCUCAACAUCAGGUAUCUUUCUUUUAUUAGUCACGAUAUCUUUCAUGUACUUAGCAUAAGGAGACAUUUUAAGCAUAUCAGUCAAACGCAUUUGCAAAAAUAUAGGUCUAAUCAUUUCAAGAAAGCGCUCAAAAUCCUCAUCAUCCUUUUUCUUGGAUGGUUUGGGAGGAAUGGGCAUGGGUUUCUGAACCCAUGGUUCUCUUUCUUUACCAUGCUUCCUAGCAAUAAAAUCAUUCUUAUCAUAUCUCUUGUUCUUAGGUUGUGGGUUAUCAAGAUCAACAGCAUGUUCAAUCUCCACAUCAUUAUCAUUACUAGGUUGAGCAUCAACAUGAACACCAUUAUCAAUAUUAUUAGUAGGCUCAUGUUCAUCACCAGAUUGUGCUUUGGCAUCAGAAAUAGAAACAUCAUUUGGAUUCUCAGGUGUAACAACAACAGGUUUACUAGCAUGCAAGUUCCUAUCAUCUUUCUUUUUCUUCCUAUUACUAGGAUGACUAGGUGCAUCAGUAUUAACUCCUUGAGAAUAUUGUUCAAUUCUCUUAGGAUGGCCCUCAGGAUACAAAGGUUCCAGAGUCAUUCUACCACCUCUAGUAACAACUCUAACGGAAUUAUCAUUCAAUUCAUUAAGCAAGUCAUUUUGAGCCUUAAGUACUUGUUCUACUUGAGUAGUGACCAUAGAAGCAUGUUUACCAAUAAGCUUAAGAUCAUUAACAUUUCUAUCCACACAAGCACUUAUAUGAUUAAUCAUAUGAGCAUUAUUUUCAGUUGUCUGCUAACAUAAUCAUUUAAACUUUGUUGUUUGGCAACAAAGUUAUCAAAUUCAUCUAAGCAUAAGCUAGCAGGUUUAUCAUAAGGAAUAUCACUCUCAUUGAGUCUACGAAGAGAAUUUACCUCUACUAGCUGUGUCGGGUUAUCAAGACCAUGUAUUUCUUCAAUAGGUGGUUGAUUCUUAACAUCUUCAGAUUUAAUACCUUUCUCUUGCAUAGAUUUCUUGGCUUCUUGCAUAUCUUUAGGACUGAGGAAUAGGAUACCUCUUUUCUUCAGAGUUGGCUUCAGAGGUGGUUCAGGAAUAGUCCAAGCAUUAUCAUUUCUCAAGAUAUUAUUCAAUAGAAUUUUAGCUUGUUCCAUAGUUCGUUCCCUGAAAACACAACCAGCACAACUAUCUAGGUGGUCCCUAGAAGCAUCGGUAAGUCCAUUAUAAAAGAUAUCAAGUAUUUCAUUUUUCUUAAGAGGGUGAUCAGGCAAAGCAUUAAGUAACUGGACAAGCCUCCCCCAAGCUUGUGGGAGACUCUCUUCUUCAAUUUGCACAAAGUUAUAUAUAUCCUGCAAGGCAGCUUGUUUCUUAUGGGCAGGAAAAUAUUUCUCAGAGAAGUAGUAUAUCAUAUCCUGGGGACUACGCACACAACCAGGAGAAAGAGAAGUAAACCAAGUUUUAGCAUCACCCUUUAGUGAGAAAGGAAACAACUUAAGGAUAUAGUAAUAGCGAAAUUUUUCCUCAUUAGUGAAUAGGGUGGCUAUAUCAUUCAGUUUAGUAAGAUGUGCUACAACAAUUUCAGAUUCAUAACCAUGAAAAGGAUCAGAUUCAAUCAAAGUGAUUAACUCAGGAUCGACAGAGAAUUCAUAAUCCUUAUGAGUAACAAAAAUGGGUAAAGUAGCAAACUUAGGAUCAUAUUUCAUUCUAGCAUUCAGAGAUUUUUCUUUCCACUUGCGUAAGAAAUUCUCAAGACCAUAGCUAUCCUUACAAGCAAGAAAGUCUUCAGCUACCUCUCCCUCCAUAACAUAACCCUUAGGUAUAUUAGGCAAUUCAUAUCUAGGAGAGCUAGGUCUAACAGGUGUCACAACAGGUUCAACUUCAAUAAUUUCAUCAGUUUCAGAAGUAUCAUCAGAUUCAGGAGUAACUCUAGCAAUUUGUGCACCAAGAAAUUCACCCAGUGGCAUAUCAUUAUCAAGCAAAGCAUCAUGGAUAGAAAAAGUAGCAUCAUCAAGCACAUGCAACAUAUCAGAAUUAUUAGUAGGUGGUGGUGUCGCAAAUUUACUCAUAACAGAAGGUGAAUCAAGUGCACAGCUAGAUGUCAGUUCCUUAUCUGUCCUCGUAGUUGAGGGCAAGACUUUAGUUUUUGGAUCUCUCGGAUUCCUCAUAGUGAUCAACAGAUAUAAAUCCCAAGUGACUCAGAGAAUAGAGCUAUGUUCCCCGGCAACGGCGCUAGAAAAAGGUCUUGAUAACCCACAAGUAUAGGGGAUCGCAACAGAUUUCGAGGGUAGAGUAUUCAACCCAAAUUUAUUGAUUCGACACAAGGGGAGCCAAAGAAUACUCUCGAGUAUUAGCAGUUGAGUUGUCAAUUCCACCACACCUGAAAGACUUAGUAUCUGUAGCAAAGUUUUAGUAGCAAAGUAGUAUGAUAGUAACGGUAGCGGCGAUAACAGUAGCAGUAGUAAUUUGUAUAGCAAGUGUGACAGCAAUAGCGGUAAAGUAACUUAGCAAGGACCAGUAUAGGAAAAGCUCGUAGGCAUUGGAUCGAUGAUGGAUAAUUAUGUCGGAUGGCAUUCAUCAUCUAACAGUUAUAACAUAGGGUGAUAUGUAACUAGCUCCAGUUCGUCAAUGUAAUGUAGGCAUGUAUUUCGUAUUUAGUCAUACAUGCUUAUGGAAAAGAACUUGCAUGACAUAUUUUGCCCUACCCUCCCGUGGCAGCAGGGUCCUAAUGGAAACUAAGGGAUAUUAAGGUCUCCUUUUAAUAGAGAACCGGAACAAAGCAUUAGCACAUAGUGAAUACAUGGGAUCCUCAUACUAUGGUCAUCUCCGGGAGUGGUUCCGACUAUUCUCACUCUGGGGUUGCCGGGUCAUAACACAUAGUAGGUGACUACAACUUGCAAGAUAGGAUCACGAACACACAUAUAUUGAUGAAAACAUAAUAGGUUCACAUAUGAAAUCAUGGCACUCGGGCCCUAGUGACAAGCAUUAAGCAUAGCAAAGUAGUAGCAACAUCAAUCUUAGAACAUAUUGGAUACUAGGGAUCAAACCCCAUCAAAACUAACUCGAUUACAUGAUAGAUCUCAUCCAACACAUCACCAUCCAGCAAGCCUACGAUAAUAUUACUCACGAACCAUGGAGAGCAUCAUGUAAUUGGCGAUGGAGGAUGGUUGAUGAUGACGACGGCGUCGAUUUCCCCUCUCCGGAGCCCAGAACGGACUCUAGAUCUGCCCUCCCAAGGAAGAACAGGCGGUGGCGGUGGCUCUGUAUAGUGAAACACGAUGAACUCUUCUCUCCUAUUUUUUUCUGGGUGAGAGAGGUUAUAUGGAGUUGGAGAUGAAAUCGGGGGAGCCACGUGGGCCCCACGAGCCUGCUAGGCGCGCCCUAGGGGGCGCCUGUAGGGUUCGUGGCCCACUGGCAGCGUAUCUUCAAUUGAUUCUUUCUCUGAUAUUUUUUAUAUAUUCCAUAAAAAAUCCUCAUAAGUUUCCAAGUCAUUCCGAGAAAUUUUAUUUCUGCACAAAAACAACACAAUGGCAGUUCUGCUGAAAACAGCGUUAGUCCGGGUUAGUUUCAUUCAAAUCAUGCAAAUUAGAGUCCAAGACAAGGGCAAAAGAGUUUGGAAAAGUAGAUACGUUGGAGACGUAUGACCCCAUGGCCCACCUCUGGUGACCAUCUUUUGGUAUAAAUUCCCUUUUAACCUGAGAAAAAUCAGGAGAGGACUUUCGGGACAAAGCACCACCGUCUUUAGGCAGACUUGGGAGGAUCACUUUUGCCCUCCUGCGGAGCGAUGCCGCCACAAGAACUUCCCUCUCGGAGGGGGAAUCGAGGCCAUCGUCAUCACGGACAACCCUCUCAUCUUGGGGAGGCCAAUCUUUCUCAUCAUGUUCAUUAGAAUCAUCUCCUAUCAAACCCCUAGUUCAUCUCUUGUGCUCAACCUUGUACCGGAACCUUAGAUUGAGACCUCGGGUGUGACUAGUAGUGUUGAUUACAUCUUGUAGUUGAUGCUUUAUUGUUUAUUUGGUGGAAGAUCAUAUGUUCAUAUCCAAUAUGCUAUUUAAUACAUCUCUGAUCAUGAGCAUGUUUAUCACUUGUGACUAGUUACCUAUGUUCUUGAGGCCACCGGAGAAGUCAUGUUGCAAGUAGUCAUGUGAAGUUGAUAUUUGUUCGAUAUUUUGAUGAUAUGAAUGUCGUGAUACCCUUAAUGGUGUUAUGUGAACGUCGACUACAUACCACUUCACCAUCUUUGAGCCUAAGGGAAAUGCAUUGUGGAGUAGUAAUUAGAUGGUGGGUUCCGAGAGUGACACAAACUUAAAACCCAGUUUAUGCGCUAUUCCGUAAGGGGCUGAUUUGGAUCACUAUGUUUAAUGCUAUGGUUAUAAUUUAUUCUUAAUAAUUUUCUCGUAGUUACAGAUGCUUACGGGAGGGUUAAUCAUAAGUGGGAGGUUUGUUCAAGUAAGAACAACACCCAAGCACCGGUCCACCCACAUAUCAAAUUAUCAAAGUACCGAACGCGAAUUAGCCCAACAUGACGAAAGUGACUAGAUGAAAUUCUCGUGUGCCCUCAAGAACGCUUUGCCUAUUAGAAGAAUCUGUUCCGGCCUGACAUUCGCCACAAAAGGAUUGGGAUACCUUUCUGCACCUAUUUUUACUAUUGCUACUUGUCACUUGUUACAAUUAUCUUGCUAUCAAACAACUUGUUAUCGCUAUUUCAGUGCUUGCAGAAAUUACUUUGCUAAAAACCGCUUGUCAUUUCAUUCCGCUCCUAGUUGGGUUCGACACUCUUACUUAUUGAAAGGACUAUGAUUGAUCCCCUAUACUUUUGGGUCAUCAAGACUUUUUUCUAGCGUCAUUGCUUGGGAGUGAAGCGACUUUGGUAAGCGGAAUUUGAUAAGGCAAAAUUUAUAUUACAUGCUGAAAUUUACUGUUACAUGUCACUAUGGAAAUCAAUCCUUUGAGGGGUUUGUUAGGGGUAUCUUCACGUCGAUCAGAAACACCAAGAGUUCUCCCUCAACCUGCUGAACCUACUGAAAUUUUUUAUUAUCAAAUUCCUUUGGGUAUGAUAGAGAAACUGCUAGCUAAACCUUAUGCAGGACAAUGAACAAAACAUCCCGAUAUGCACCUGAUCUAUGUGGAUUAUUUAAACUUGCAUGUUUAUCUGGAGAUGAAUUCAAGAAGAAGGUUUUCCCUUUAUCUUUGGGGGAGCAUUAACAUGGUAUAGGCUAUGUGAUGAUACAUGAUCUUGGAACUGGAAUCGGUUGUAAUUGUAGUUUCACCAACAAAAUUAUCCUACGCAUCUUGUUCAUCAUGAUAGGAAUUUAUCUAUAAUUUUUGGCCUCGUGAAGGAGAAAGUAUCUCUCUAGAUUGGGGGAGGCUUAAGUCAAUGUUAUAUUCAUGCCACAAUCAUGAGCUCCCGAGAGAAAUUAUUUUACAGAUUUUUUAUGCUCGGCUUUCUUGUAAUGAUCAAACCAUGCACGAUACUUUUUGUUAUGGUUCUUUUAUGAAGAAGACUAUUGAGUUCAGGGGGUUCUUUUGGAAACAAUUAAAUGCAAGUGUAAAGAUUGGGAACUCAAAGAAGGUAAAGAGUCAGGUAUAAAACUUAAGUUUGAUUGUGUUAAAUAUUUUAUGAAUAGUGAUGCUUUUAAUGAUUUUAGCACUAAAUAUGGACUUGACUCUCAGAUAGUAGCGUCAUUCUGUGAAACCCUUGCUGCUCAUGUUGAUCUCCCUAAAUAUAAAUAUUUUAAAUAUCGUCCAACUAUUAAAUAAAAACUUGACGAACCAAUUAAAGUUGAGGAUGAAACUAUCAUUUACAAUGUUGACCUAGUUGUGCGUACUCCUUAUAUUGAGAAGCCACCUUUCCCUGUUAGGAUAAGGGAACAUGCUAACGAUUCAACCAUGGUUAACAAAAUUUAUGUCAGAACAACCAAACCCUCCAAAAAAAUCAAGGUAGAACCUAUUUUUUGCUAUGGUUAAAGAUCUCUUGGUCAAAAAUAUUGAUGGGCACGUUAUUUAUUUUUGUGAUGAAGCUGCUAGAAUUGCCAAACCUGAUAAUAAAGAUAAAAAUAGACCCGUUGUUGGCAUGACUGUCAUCUCAGUCAAAAUACGAGAUCAUUGCUACCAUGGUUUAUGUGAUAUGGGUGCUAGUGUUAGUGCUAUUCCUUUCACCUUAUAUCAAGAAAUUAUGCAUGAGAUAGCACCAUGUGAAAUAGGAGACAUAGAUGCGAAAGUCCUCUUCUGUGCUCACCUGAGCACCCGUGAACAGUAAAGUAAAAAAAACACUUGAUCACCAUAUGACUUUCGUCGAAAAAGCAGCAAAAAAAAUCGAUGCUCCAAAACGCUACAAAAAACUGACCUUUUGGAACAUCACAUUUGUUUUUUUGCCACAUUUUCUACGAAUGUCAUCUAGUGAUGAAACUUUGCACGCGUGUGGGAAAAAUAUCAAAGUUUCUCGCAAAAAAUAUCAGAUUUUUUGAAAUGUUUUAAAAAAAUCGAUUUUACUGUUCACGCGUGCUCAGGUGAGCACGUGGGUAGGACAGCCGCGUCCACAUAGAUGUUACUAUUAAACUUUCUAAUAGAGACACCAGCACACCACUUGGGAUUGUUAGAGAUGUUGAAGUCUUGUGUGGAAAAGUAAAAUACCCUACUGAUUUUUUAGUAUUUGGCUCACCACAAGAUGAUUUUUUCCCAUAAUAUUUGGUAGACCCUUCUUGAACACUGUCAAUGCUCAAAUAGAUUGCAAAAAGGAAACUGUCAAUGUUUAUUUUGGUGGUAUGUCUCAUGACUUUCAUUUCUCCAAGUUCAGUAAGCAACCCCAUGAUAAAGAAUUUCCUAGUAAAGAUGAAGUAAUUGGUCUUGCUUCUAUUUCCAUUCCUCCUACUGAUCCAUUAGAACAAUAUUUACUAGACCAUGAAAAUGAUAUGCAUAUGCGUGAGAGAGAUGAACUAGAUAAUAUGUUCUUUGAGCAAAAGCUUAUCCUUAAACACAACUUCCGUGUUGAAACUCUAAGAGCUGUUCCUCCACCCAAGGGUGAUCCUGUGUUGAACUAAAGCAAUUACCUAGCACUUCAAAAUAUGCUUAUCUUGAUGAAAAUAAGAUAUAUCGUAUUAUUAUUAGUGCUAACCUUACACAACAUAAAGAAGAAAGAUUGUUAAAAUAUUUAAGGAAGCACUCAGCUGCUAUUGGGUAUAAUCUUGAUGAUCUUAAGGGCAUUAGUCCCACUCUUUGUCAGCACAAGAUUAAUAUGGAACCAGAUGCUAAACCCGUUGUUGAUCACGAAUGAAGAUUGAAUCCCAAAAUUAUAAAAGUGGUAAGAAAUGAAAUAUUAAAGCUUCUGGAAGGAGGUAUAAUCUAUCCCAUAGCCCAUAGUAGAUGGGUAAGUCCGAUUCAUUGUAUUCCUAAGGAAGGAGGUAUUACUGUUGUUCCUAAUGAUAAAAAUGAACUAAUUCCAUAAAUAAUUGUGACUGACAAUAGAAUGGUAAUUUAUUAUAGAAAAUUAAUCAAAGAUAUUAGGAAAGAUCAUUAUCCUUACCUUUCAUAGACCAAAUGCUAGAAAUAUUAUCAAAGCACACACAUUUUUGCUUUCUAGAUGGUUAUUCUAGUUUCUCACAAAAACAUGUGCCGCAACCUGAUUAAGAGAAAACCACCUUUACUUGUCCUUUUGAAACCUAUGCUUAUAGACAUAUGCCUUUUGGAUUAUGCAAUGCACCUGCUACCUUUCAAAGAUGUAUGACUGCUAUAUUCUCUAAUUUUUGUGAAAAGAUUGUUGAGGUUUUCAUGGAUGAUUUUUGUGAAAAGAUUGUUGAUGCCAUCUUACUUUAUGCGUUACUCUGUUCUUCAUGAAAUUAAUACUCUAGAUGCAGGCACGACUCGGUUGAUGUGUGGAGUAAUAGUAGUAGAUGCAGAAUCAUUUCGGUCUACUUGAUACGGACGUGAUGCCUAUAUGCAUAAUCAUUGCCUUGGGUAUCUUCAUAAUUAUUUGCUUUUCUAUCAAUUGCUCGACAAUAGUUUGUUCACCCGCCGUAUUAUUUUCCUUCAUGAGAGAAUCCUCUAGUGAAACCUAUGGCCCCCGAGUCUAUUUUCCAUAUCAUAUUUUCAGAUCUAUAAACCAAAAAUACCAAAAAUACUUUGCUGCAAUUUAUUUACUUUAGUGUCACUUUCAGAUCUAUCAAUAUUUUAUAUCUAUGUCUAUCAGAUCUCAUCCUUGCAAAUAACUCUGAAGGGAUUAAAUUCCCCUUUAUAGCGUUGGGUGCAAGUGUUUGAUUAUUUGUCUACUAUUGGAGUCUCGCUUGUUCCUCCUACUGGGUUGAUACCUUGGUUCUCAACAAACUGAGGGAAAUACUUAUCUACUUCGUUGCAUCACCCUUUCCUCUUCAAGGGAAAACAACGCAAGCUCAAGGGGUAGAAGAUUCACAGAAACAUAUUUCUGCGUUGUGUUACUUUCUGGUUGAAGCAAAGGUUCAAUAACCUCAUCAAGUUCUAUCUUCCUCCAACUCAAUUCUUUCGGGAGAAACUCUUUCUCAAGAAAUGUUCCGUUCUUAGCGACAAACACUUUGCCUUCGGAUCUGAGAUAGAAGGUAUACCCAAGUGUCUCUUUUGGGUAUCCUAUGAAGAUGAAUUUCUCCACUUUGGGUUCGAGCUUUUGAGGCUGAAUCUUUUUGACAUAAGCAUCGCAUCCGCAAACAUUAAGAAACGACAACUUUAGUUUCUUUCCAAACCAAGAUUCAUAUGGCGUCGUAUCAAUGGAUUUAGAUGGUGCCCUAUUUAAAGUGAAUGCACUUGUCUCUAAUGCAUAACCCCAAAAUAAUAAUGGCAAAUCGACAAUAGACAUCAUAGAACGUACCAUAUCCAAUAAAGUACGAUUACGCCGUUGAGACACACCAUUACGCUGUGGCAUUCUAGGCGGGGUCAACUAUGAAACAAUUCCACAUUGUUUUAGGUGAGUGCCAAACUCAUAACUCAAAUAUUCUCCUCCUCGAUCAGAUCGUAGGAAUUUAAUCUUCUUGUUACGAUGAUUCUCAACUUCACUCUGAAAUUGCUUGAACUUUUCAAACGUUUCACACUUUUGUUUCAUUAAGUAAAUAUACCCAUAUCUACUUAUGUCAUCACUGAAGUUGAGAAAAUAACGAUAUCCACCACACGCCACAAUGCUCAUCGGACCACACACAUCAGUAUGUAUGAUUUCCAGUAAGUCACUUGCCCGCUCCGUUAUUCCGGAGAUCGGGGUCUUAGUCAUCUUCCGCAUGAGGCAUGGCUCACAUGUGUCAAGUGAUUCAAAAUCAAGUGACUCCAAAAGUCCAUCAACAUGGAGCCUCUUCAUGCGUUUUACGUCAAUAUGACCUAACCGGCAGUGCCACAAGAAAGUGGUACUAUCAUUAUUAACUUUACAUCUUUUGGCGUCAGUGUUAUGAACAUGUGUGCUGUCACUAUCGAGAUUCAAUAAGAAUAAACCCCUCACAUUGGGUGCAUGACCAUAAAAUAUAUUACUCAUAUAAAUAGAACAACCAUUAUUCUAUGAUUUAAACGAGUAACCGUCUCGAAUUAAACAAGAUCCAGAUAUAAUGUGCAUUCUCAACGCACGCACUAAAUAACAAUUAUUCACGUUCAUCACUAACCCUGAUGGUAACCAAAGAGCGAGCGCACCGACGGCGAUCGCAUCAACAUUGGAACCAUUUCCCACGCGCAUUGUCACUUUGUCCUUCGCCAACCUUCGUUUAUUCCGUAGUUCCUGCUUUGAGUUGCAAAUGUGAGCAACCGAACCGGUAUCAAAUACCCAGGCACUACAAUGAGAGUUGGUAAGGUACACAUCAAUAACAUGUAUGUCACAUAUACCUUGUUUGGUGGUGGCUGCCUUCUUGUUGGCCAGAUAUUUGGGGCAGUUCUGCUUUCAGUCGUUAGUACCCUUGCAAUGAAAGCACUCAUUUUCUCGCAUGGGUCCAGCCUUGGGUUUCUUCACGGGAGGGGUAACUGCUUUGCCACUCUUCUUGGAUUUACCCUUCUCGCCCUUGCCAUUCUUCUUGAAACUAGUGGUUUUAUUGACCAUCACCACUUGACGCUCCUUCUGAAUUUCCGACUCAGCGACUUUUAGCAUCGCAAACAGCUCGGCGACUGAUUUGUUCAUCCCUUGCAUGUUAUAUUUUAGCACAAAGCUUUUGUAGCGAGGUGUUAGUGAUUGAAGAACUUGUCAGUGAUUGCCUCUUGCGGGAGAACAAUUCCCAACUCAGCCAGACGGUUGGAUACCCAGACAUUUUCAGUAUGUGCUCACUGACAGGCCCGUUCUCCUCCAUCUUGCAAGCAUAGAACUUAUCGGAAGUCUCAUACCUCUUGAUACGGGCAUUAUUUUCCAAGAUAAACUUCAACUCCUAGAACAUCUCAUAUGCUCCAUGUUGUUCAAAACGUCUUUGAAGUCCCAUCUCUAAGCCAUACAAGAUUGCACACUGAACUAUUGAGUAGUCAUCAGAACGUGCCUACCAGACUUUCAUAACGUCUUCAGUCGCCGGGAGUGGGUGUGCCUCACCAUGUGGUGCAUCAAGGACAUAAGCCUUUUGGGAAACCGUGAGGACAAUCCUAAAAUUAUGGGCCCAGUCUACAAAGUUACUUCCAUCAUAUUUCAGCUUGGCUUAUCUAGGAACACAUUAAAAUUCAGGGGAGCUACUGUACGGGCCAUUGAUCUUCAACAUAAAUUUGCAAAGAUUACUUAGACUAUUGUUUAAUAUAAUGAGUUUAGUUAAUCAUAUUACAAAAAACUCCCACUCAAAUUGACAUCCCUCUAGUCAUUCGAGUGUCACAUGAUCCAAAUUCACCAACCCAAGCUUGAUCAUUGAUGACCCACAAGUAUAGGGGAUCAAUCGUAGUCCUUUGAUAAGUAAGAGUGUCGAACCCAACGAGGAGCAAAAGGAUCUGACAAGUGGUUUUCAGCAAGGAAAUAUCUGCAAGCACUAAAAUUAUUGGUAACAAGUGAUUGUGUGGUGAGAUGAUUCAUAGCGAGCAACAAGUAACAAAAGUAGUAACGGUGCAGCAAAGUGGCCCAAUCCCUUUUGUAGCAAGGGACAAGCCUGGACAAAGUCUUAUAGGAGGAAAAACGCUCCCGAGGACACACGGGAAUUUUUGUCAUGCUAGUUUCAUCAUGUUCAUAUGAUUCGCGUUCGUUACUUUGAUAGUUUGAUAUGUGGGUGGACUGGCGCUUGGGUACUGCCCUUACUUGGACAAGCAUCCCACUUAUGAUUAACCCCUCUCGCAAGCAUCCGCAACUACGAAAGAAGAAUUAAGACAAAGUCUAACCAUAGCAUUAAACUAGUGGAUCCAAAUCAGCCCCUUACGAAGCAACGCAUAAACUAGGGUCUAAGCUUGUGUCACUCUAGCAACCCAUCAUCUACUUACUAGUUCCCAAUGCCUUCCUCUAGGCCCAAAUAAUGGUGAAGUGUUAUGUAGUCGACGUUCACAUAACACCACUAGAGGAAAAACAACAUACAAUACAUCAAAUUACCGAACGAAUACCAAAUUCACAUGACUACUAUUAGCAUGACUUAUGCCAUGUCCUCGGGAACAAAAGUAACUACUCACAAAGCAUAAUCAUAUUCAUGACCAGAGAGGUAAUGAGUAGCAUCAAGGAUCUGAACAUAAACUCUUCCACCAAAUAAUCGAACUAGCAUCAACUACAAAGAGUAAUCAACACUACUAGCAACCUUACAAGUACCAAUCGGAGUCGCGAGACAGAGAUUGGUUACAAGUGAUGAACUAGGGUUUGGAGAUGAGAUGGUGUUGAUGAAGAUGUUGAUGGUGACGAGUCCACUCCGAUGAGAGGAGUGUUGGUGAUGACGAUGGCGACGAUUUCCCCCUCCGGGAGGGAAGUUUCCCCGGCAGGAUCAUUCUGCCGGAGCUCUAGAUUGGUUCUGCUUGAGUUCCGCCUCGUGCCAGCGGCGAAUGCACGAAAAAGCUCCUCUCUGAUUUUUUUUUCCAGACAAAACCAUUCACAUAGCAAAAGAGGGGGGCCAGUGGGCCAGCAGGCUGCCCACAAGCCCUCAUGGCAUGGCCUGGGUGUUGGCCGCACCGUGCAGGCUUGUGGCCACCUGCUGGCGCCCCUCUGGCACUUCUUCGGCCUAGUAUUUUUUAUAAAUCCGGAAAAAAAAUCCUCGUUGAUUUUUAUGGCGUUUGGAGUUGCGCAGAAUAGGUAUCUCAACGUUGCUCCGCUUUCAGGCCAGAAUUCCAGCUGUCGGCAUUCUCCCUCUUCAUGUAAACCUUGCAAAAUAAGAGAGAAAAGGCAUAAGUAUUGUACCGUGAAGUGAAAUAACAGCCCAAGAAGCGAUAGAUAUCAACAUGAAAACAUGAUGCAAAAUGGACGUAUCAACUCCCCCAAGCUUAGACCUCGCUUGUCCUCAAGCGAAAGCCUAGCUCAAUAAAUAUCUUCACAUGUUUGGGAGAGAGGUGUCGACAAAACAAGAUACGAACAUGCAUGCAUCAUGAUCAUGAUCAGAACAACAAUACCAACAUAUAAUCUCUCAUGCUAAAGUGAUAAUACCUUCACAAAGUAAAGCAUGGAUCAAAAACCUUACCGAGAAGUAACGACCGAUAGCCUUUAGUCAUUGAAGCAAUUGCUAUUUAUCACAACAUCAGAAAGAGUCAAAUAAGAGCUUGUAAAGCAAAUCCACAUACUCAAUCAUUCUUUCGUUCUCUACAAUUGCUACAACUCACUUGGUACUCAUGAGAUCAAAGUUUCAGCUAGACACAGAGAAAGAUAGGGGCUUACAGUUUUGCCUCCCAACUGCUUACCUCAAGGGUAAUGUCAACAAUAAUAAUUUAUGAAUACUUACCUCCAAGUUGACAUAUGAAUAGAGAUCUUUCCCAAGCAUAUGACGUUAGCCAAGGAAAAGGCGAAACAAGGAGUUGGUGAAGAUCACCAUGACUCUUUCAAGGGCAAAAAGUAAAGGUACAAGAUAGGCCCUUUACAAGAGGGAAGCAGAGGUUGUCAUGUGCUUUUGAGGUUUGGAAGUGUGUCUUCUUAGUGCGGAGGAAUAUCACUUUAUAUUGCCUCCUGUGAUAAAGAACUUUAUUAUGCAGUCUGUCGCUUUUAUGUCUUCCUCAUCACAGGUUCGUACAAAGCUUAUUUUCCACACACUAAUAGAUCAUACAUAUUAGAGGGCAAUUUUUAUUGCUUGCACCGAUGACAACUUACUUGAGGGAUCUUAUUCAAUCCAUAGGUAGGUAUGGUGGACUCUCAUGGCACAACUGGGUUGAAGGUUUAUGGAUGCACAAGUAGUAUCUCUACUUGGUGCGGGAGUUUUGGCUAAUAUGAGGUGGAAGCAAUCGUCACAUGCUAAGGGAUCUCUAAUCAUAUAACAUUGUUCGGAACUAAGCAAACACAAUUCAUUAUGUUGUCUUCCUUGUCCAACAUCUACUUCUAGGCAUGUAAUAGUUUGGUGAGUACUCACAAUCAUAGAUGGUGUCAGAGAUGAUAUAUUUAUAUGUGAACCUCUCCUUCUUUAUCACUUCCUAUUAAUUGCAACAAUGACCAAGGUCUACGUUUGUCUACCCUCAACAAGUUUCAAUCAUCAUCCUUUUUAUAUGUGAAGCCAUCAGUUCCCAUAAGAUCAUUACAUGAUCUUUCAUGCUUUUGUUCUAUUCUCACUCUUUUGAUCAUGGCAAGAGGCAAAGCCCUUCAACUAAGACACUCUUUAUUAUAUGGCUCACGAGCUCGAAUACAUCAGGGGUGACACUAAGCAAAACUCAAGACUAAAACACUAAGAUUUUUAAUCUACUAGAGAAAAAAAAGAAAACUGAAAAGGAACAAACUAAAACAAAGGUAAAAGCAAAAGGUGUGAUGGUGAUACGAUACCGGGGAAACUCCCCCAAGCUUGGCACAAGCCAAGGGGAUUGCCCAUACCAAUGCUCAGUUGUCUUCCUUUGGUGGUGAUGGUGGUGGAGUUGUUGCAACAUGGGCUUGAUCCUCCGUCUUCCAAGGAAUAGGUGCUCCAUCAUGGAAAGAUGAACGAGUCUCCGGAAUCCCCAAAUCUGCAGCCAACCUUGUUGAUUUAAAUCUAUACUCAUACUCACAGUUUUGGUUCUGCAUGUCAUAGAUCUGGGCCUGGAGUUGAUCAAUCCUGUCGUAGAGCCUCGAGAGGUGCUUCCCAAUGUCAUUGGCAUCAAUCAUGUGCUUGUUGGUGAACUCUGUGAUCAUCAUGUGGUUGGCGUUGAGUCCACGCUCCACCAUCCCUUGGCACUUGAAGACUUGUUGCUCCAUUCCUUCGAGCCUCGUCUCCACGCUUCCGGUCUUCUUAGGCCCCUCAACAUCACGGAUGUGCAACAUCCCCUCACGCAUCUCGAUAGAUUGAGGGCGUUGCAGCACUCCCGUGAGGUAGGGAUUGAUGACCUUCUCAAAGAUCUUGUCCUUCAGAGCUUUUGGGGAAGUCAUAGCGAUCUAGAUCUGCAACAGAAACAGGCUCGAAACGAAAAACAGAGGAAAUCUGCGUGAUGCAGGGGUCAGACCAAACGGGAGUGUAUAUAAUGAUUUUUUACAAACCAGAAGGAGUACCCCACACAAAAACGGAGCCCGGGAGGCGCACGAGGUGACCACAAGCCCUCACGGCGCGGCCAGGAGGUGGGCCCGCGCCGUGCAGGCUUGUCGCCUCCUCGCGCACUUUCCGGACUACUUCCAUUUUUUCUAUUUUUUCAAAAAUUCCAAAACGGAGAAAAUUUCCUACUGGAAAAGUUUUGGACUCUGUUUUCUUACCGAAUCACAUACCUCUUCGUUUUCGGAGUCUGAAAUAGGCUGAUAAAUAUCCCUUAGGUAUUCUUCCGGAGUUAUGGUAUUGAAAAAUUGCUUUCAACAUUUAUGGGAGUACCUGAGAUAUAAUGCUUGAUUCUUUGCCCAUUUACCACUCUCGGACAAUUACCUUCCGUGUUGUUGAUCUUGAUAGCACCGGAAUGAUAUACUUCCUCGACAACAUAGGGACCUUCCCAUUUAGAGAGAAGCUUGCCUACAAAGAAUCUUAAACAAGAGUUGUAUAGCAAGACAUAAUCACCUACAUUGAACUCACGCUGUUGUAUCCUCUUAUCAUGCCACCUCUUAACCUUCUCUUUGAACAGCUUGGCAUUCUCAUAUGCCUGAGUUCUCCACUCAUCAAGCGAGCUAAUAUCAAAUAACCUCUUCUCACCGGCAAGUUUGAAAUCAAAGUUGAGCUCUUUGAUUGCCCAAUAAGCUUUAUGCUCUAGCUCAAGAGGUAAAUGACAUGCUUUACCGUACACCAUUUUGUACGAAUACAUGCCCAUGGGAUUCUUAUAGGCAGUUCUAUAAGCCCACAGUGCAUCAUCGAGCUUCUUAGACCAAUUCUUUCUAGACCUGUUGACAGUCUUUUGCAGAAUUAGUUUAAUCUCCCUAUUACUUAGCUCUACUUGACCACUCGACUGAGGGUGAUAGGGAGACCCAAUUCUAUGGUUGACAUCGUACUUAGCAAGCAUUUUACGGAAAGCACCAUGAAUGAAGUGUGAACCACCGUCGGUCAUUAGAUAUCUAGGGACUCCAAAUCUAGGGAAGAUAACUUCUUUCAGCAUCCUGAUAGAGGUGUUGUGAUCAGCACUACUAGUGGGGAUAGCUUCUACCCACUUAGUGACGUAAUCAACAGCAACUAGGAUAUGAGUAUACCCAUUGGAUUUUGGAAAAGGUCCCAUAUAAUCAAAGCCCCAAACAUCAAAUGGUUCAAUGACAAGUGAAUAGUUCAUAGGCAUUUCCUAACGUUUGCUAAUAUUACCUAUUCUUUGACAUUCGUCACACGACAAGACAAACUUACGGGCAUCCUUGAAGAGAGUGGGCCAAUAGAAACCUGAUUGCAAUACCUUGUGUGCAGUUCUAUCUCCCGCAUGGUGUCCUCAGUAAGCCUCGGAGUGACACUUCUAUAGGAUUUGUCCCUGUUCAUGUUCAGGUACACAACGUCUAAUAACACCAUCUACUCCUUCCUUAUAAAAGUGAGGAUCAUCCCAAAAGUAGUGUCUCAAGUCAAAGAAAAAUUUCUUGUUUUGCUGGUACGUGAAACUAGGUGGUAUAUAUUUGGCAACGAUAUAGUUUGCAUAAUCAGCAUACCACGAUGCACUACAUGAAGCAUUGAUGACAUUCAGUUGCUUAUCGGGAAAGCUAUCAUCAAUAGGUUGUGGGUCAUCAAGAACGUUCUCCAACCUAGGCAAGUUAUCUGCUACUGGGUUAUCAGCACCCUUUCUGUCGACAACGUGCAAAUCAAAUUAUUGUAGCAAAAGAACCCAUCUGAUAAGUCUAGGUUUAGCGUCUUUCUUCUCCAUGAGGUACUUAAUAGCAGCAUGAUCAAUGUGAAUAGUGAAUUUGGAAUCAACUAUGUAAGACCUGAAAUUUUCACAUGCAAACACGACUGCUAAAAACUCCUUCUCCGUAGUAGCAUAGUUUCUCUGAGCACUGUCUAGAGUUUUACUAGCAUAGUGAAUAACGUUCAGCUUCUUAUCAACUCUUUGCCCUAGAACAGCACCAACAGCAUAAUCGCUAGCAUCACACAUGAUCUCAAAAGGUAAGUUCCAAUCAGGUGGUUGAACAAUAGGUGCAGUUAUCAAAGCCCUCUUAAUUAUUUCGAAGGCUUCCUCACAAUCAUCGUCAAAGACAAAAGGAAUAUCCUUUUGCAAGAGAUUGGUAAGAGGCCUCGAAAUCUUAGAGAAGUCUUUGAUGAACCUUCUAUAGAAACCAGCAUGACCAAGCAAACUUCUUAUACCUUUGAUAUCUGUGGGGUAUGGCAUUUUCUCGAUUGCAUCAACCUUAGCCUUAUCGACUUCAAUACCUCUUUUAGAAAUUUUAUGUCCUAAGACGAUGCCUUCAUUAACCAUAAAGUGGCACUUCUCCCAUGUCAAGACAAGAUUGGUGUCUUUACGUCUCUGUAAGACUCGAUCAAGGUUGCUGAGGCAAUCAUCAAAGGAAGACCCGUAAAUAGAAAAGUCAUCCAUGAAAACCUCAACAAUCUUUUCACAAAAGUCAGAGAAUAUAGCCAUCAUACAUCUUUGAAAUGUGGAAGGUGCAUUACAUAAGCCAAAAGGCAUACGUCUAUAAGCAAAGGUACUGAAAGGGCAGGUGAAAGUGGUUUUCUCGUGAUCAGAUUGUGCAACUGGUAUUUGGGAGAAACCAGAAUAACCGUCUAGAAAGCAGAAGUGUGUGUGUUUAGACAGCCUUUCUAGCAUUUGGUCGAUAAAAGGCAGAGGGUAAUGAUCUUUCCUAGUGGAUUUAUUCAAUUUCCUAAAAUCGAUCACCAUCCUAUAGGCAGUAAUAAUCAUCUGUGGGAUUAAUUCAUCCUUAUCAUUAGGGACAACGGUAAUGCCUCCCUUCUUAGGGACGCAAUGCACCGGACUCACCCAAUCGCUAUGAGCAACAGGAUAGAUAAUACCCGCUUCCAGGAGCUUUAGUAUUUCUUUUCUCACUACUUCUUUCAUCUUAGGAUUUAAUCUCCUUUGAUGAUCAGCAACUNAGUAUAUCCAAUAGCAGAACGAUGCUUCCUCGGAGUUUUUAGUAACUUAUUUCCUUCAUGCUCUGAGAGGCUAGCACUAAUUAUAACAGGAUAUAUCUCCUUUUCAUCAAGAUAAGCAUACUUAAGAGUAUCAAGCAACUGUUUAAGCUCGAACACAUGAUCACUCUUUGGUGGGGGUGGAUCCCCAAGCAGUUCAACACGCAAGUUAUUCUUAAGGAUAGGAUAUUGUUCUAAGACAACUCUAUCUAUCUCAUCCCUUUCAUCCAUAUGCAUAUCAUUUUCAUGCUCAAGCAAGUAUUGCUCUAAGGGAUCAGUAGGAGGCACGGCAACAGAGGCUAAGGCAAUAGUUUCAUCCCUACUAGGCAACUUAUUUUCAUGAGGUUGUCUACCAAACUUGGAGAAGUUGAACUCAUGUGACACGCCUUCAAAGCCAACAGUGACAGUUUGCUUCUCACGGUCAAUAUGAGCAUUGAAGGUAUUGAGAAAAGGUCCGCCAAAUACGAUGGGACAAAAGCUAUCUUGUGCGGUAGCAAGAACGAGGAAAUCAGCAGGAUACUUCGUUUUACCACACAAGACUUCAACAUCCCUAACAAUUACCACAGGGCAAAUAGUAUCUCUAUUGGCAAGCUGAAUAGUGACAUCAAUAGGCUCUAUCUCAACAGGUGCAAUCUCAUCUUUGAUUUCAUCAUAUAAGGAUUGAGGUACUGCACUAACACUAGCACCCACGUCACAUAAGCAAUGAUAACAAUGAUCUCCUAUCUUAACAGAAACCACAGGCAUGCCAACAACAGGCCUAUGUUUGUCUCUAACGUGAGGUUUAGCAAUUCUAGCAGCAUCUUCACAGAAGUGAAUAUUAUGUCCCUCAACAUCGUCGGACAGAAGAUCUUUGAUAAUAGCAAUGCUAGGUUCAACUCUAAUUUGCUCAGGGGGUGUAGGUGUUCUAAUAUAGCCUCUACGUAUCACAGUUGAAGCUUUAGAAUGAUCCUUUAUCCUAACAGGGAAAGGUGGUUCCUCAAUGUAAGCACUCGGAACAACAGGAUCAUUAUAGGCAAUGACUUUCUCUUCAACUGGAGUAGGUUUAACUACAUUGACUUCUAAAGGAGGAUGAUAUUUAAACCACUUCUCUUUGGGGGGAUCAAUAUGAGCAGCAAAGGAUUCACACAAUGAAGCUACUAUCUCAGAGUCAAGUCCAUACUUAGCGCUAAAAUCACUAAAUGUACUUGUCUCAACAAAGGAUUUAACGCAAUCAAACAUGAAAUUCAUACCUGACUCCUUACCUUCUUCAAGCUCCCAAUCUUCAGAGUUGCGUUUAAUUCUCUCCAAUAAAUUCCAUUCGAAGUCAAUAUCUCUCUUCAUAAAAGAACCGGUACAAGAAGUGUCAAGCAUGGUGCGAUCAUCAUGAGAAAGCCGAGCAUAGAAGUUCUGAAUGAUAAUUUCUCUCGAGAGCUCAUGAUUGGGGCAUGAAUAUAGCACUGAUUUAAGCCUCCCCCAAGCUUGAGCGAUGCUUUCUCUGUCACGAGGCCAAAAAUUAUAAAUAUAAUUCCGAUCACGAUGUACUAAAUGCAUAGGAUAAAACUUUUGAUGAAAUUCCAAUUUCAACCGAUUAUAGUCCCAUGAUCCAGUAUCAUCACAUAGCCUAUACCAUGUCAACGCCUUAUCCUUCAAAGAUAAAGGAAAGGCCUUCUUCUUGACCUCAUCCUCGGGCACACCUGCAAGCUUAAAUAAACCGCAAACUUCAUCUACAAAGAUUAGAUGCAAGUCUGGGUGUGAUGUUCCAUCUCCUGUAAAAGGAUUAGCCAGCAGUUUCUCAAGCAUACCCGAAGGAAAUUCAAAGCAAAUAUUUUCAGUAGGUGCAGCAGGUUGAGGAGCAACUAUUUGUGCUUCCAUUCGAGGUGAAGAUACCCCGAACAAGCCCCUCAAAGGAUUAGUAUCCAUAGUGACAAGUGACAUUAAAUUUCAGCACACUAUAUGAAUGUUUCCUUACCAAGUUCCACUUACCAAAGGCGCUUCACUCCCCGGCAACGGCGCGAGAAAAGAGUCUUGAUGACCCACAAGUAUAGGGGAUCAAUCGUAGUCCUUUCGAUAAGUAAGAGUGUCGAACCCAACGAGGAGCAAAAGGAUCUGACAAGUGGUUUUCAGCAAGGAAAUAUCUGCAAGCACUAAAAUUAUUGGUAACAAGUGAUUGUGUGGUGAGAUGAUUCAUAGCGAGCAACAAGUAACAAAAGUAGUAACGGUGCAGCAAAGUGGCCCAAUCCCUUUUGUAGCAAGGGACAAGCCUGGACAAAGUCUUAUAGGAGGAAAAACGCUCCCGAGGACACACGGGAAUUUCUGUCAUGCUAGUUUCAUCAUGUUCAUAUGAUUCGCGUUCGUUACUUUGAUAGUUUGAUAUGUGGGUGGAUCGGCGCUUGAGUACUGCCCUUACUUAAACAAGCAUCCCACUUAUGAUUAACCUCUAUCGCAAGCAUCCUCUACUACGAAAGAAGAAUUAAGACAAAGUCUAACCAUAGUACUAAACUAGUGGAUCCAAAUCAGCCCCUUAUGAAGCAACGCAUAAACUAGGGUUUAAGCUUCUGUCACUCUAGCAACCCAUCAUGUACUUACUACUUCCCAAUGCCUUCCUCGAGGCCCAAAUAAUGGUGAAGUGUUAUGUAGUUGACAUUCACAUAACACCACUAGAUGAAAAACAACAUACAACACAUCAAAUUACCGAACGAAUACCAAAUUCACAUGACUACUAUUAGCAUGACUUAUCCCAUGUCCUCAGAAACAAAAGUAACUACUCACAAAGCAUAAUCAUAUUCAUGACCAGAGAGGUAAUGAGUAGCACCAAGGAUCUGAACAUAAACUCUUCCACCAAAUAAUCCAACUAGCAUCAACUACAAAGAGUAAUCAACACUACUAGCAACCUUACAAGUACCAAUCGGAGUCGCGAGACGGAGAUUGGUUACAAGUGAUGAACUAGGGUUUGGAGAUGAGAUGGUGCUGAUGAAGAUGUUGAUGAUGAAGAGUCCCCUCCGAUGAGAGGAGUGUUGGUGAUGAUGAUGGCGACGAUUUCCCCCUCCGGGAGGGAAGUUUCCCCAGCAGGAUCGUCCUGCCGGAGCUCUAGAUUGGUUCUGCUCAAGUUCCGCCUCGUGGCGGCGACGAAUCCACGAAAAAGCUCCUCUCUGAUUUUUUUCCAGACGAAACCCUUCAUACAGCAGAAGAUGGGGGUUAGUGGGCCAGCAGGCUUCCCACAAGCCCUCAUGGCGCGGACUAGGGGGGGGGUCGCGCCGUGCAGGCUUGUGGCCACGUGAUGGCGCCCCUCUGGUACUUCUUCGGCCCAGUAUUUUUUAUAAAUCCAAAAAAAAUCCUUGUUGAUUUUUACGGCGUUUGGAGUUGCGCAGAAUAGGUAUCUCAACUUUGCUCCACUUUCAGGCCAGAAUUCCAUCGGACGGCAUUCUCCCUCUUCAUGUAAACCUUGCAAAAUAAGAGAGAAAGGCAUAAGUAUUGUACCGUGAAGUGAAAUAACAGCCCAAGAAGCGAUAAAUAUCAACAUGAAAACAUGAUGCAAAAUGGACGUAUCAAUCAUCACGUGAUGAGGUGGUUUCAAUGGUGAACAUCUUCAUGUUGACCAUAUCUACUAUAUGACUCAUGUUCGACCUUUCGGUCUCUUGUGUUCCGAGGCCAUGUCUAUACAUUCUAGCCUCGUCAAGUUUAACACGAGUGUUCCUCACAUGCGAAACUGGCUUGCACCCAUUGUAUGCGAACGUAGAGUCUAUCACACCCGAUCAUCACGUGGUGCUUCCAAACGAUGAACUUUCGCAAGAGUGCACACUCGGGGGGAACACAAUUUUAGCUUGAAAUUUUAGUGAGGGAUCACCUUAUAAUGCUACGUCGUCCUAAGCAAAACAAGGUGCAUAAAAGGAUUAACAUCACAUCCAAAUCAUAAGUGACAUGAUAUGGCCAUGAUCUUGUGCUUUUGAUCUCCAUCUACAAAGCACCGACAUGAUCUCCAUCGCCACCGGCAUAACACCAUGAUCUCUAUCAUCAUGAUAUCCAUCAUCAUGUUACCGUCAGGGUUGUCGCUCCAACCAUGCUUCUACUACUAUUGCUACCAUUUAGCGAUAAAAUAAGAAUUACAUAACGCUUAAUGAUUGACACACAUGUCAUACAAUAAUUAAAAACAACCCUAUGGCUCAUGUCGGUUGCCGUAUGCAUCGACAUGCAAGUUGAUAUUAACUAUUACAACAUGAUCAUCUCAUGCAUCAGAUAUAUAUCAUCAUGUCUUUCGCCAUAUCAUAUCACAACAUACCUUGGAAAAACAAAUUAGACAUCCUCUAAUUUGUUGUUGCAUAUUUUACGUGGCUACUAUGGGUAUCUAGGAGGAAUUAUUCUUACCUGCGCAAAGCCACAAUGGUGAUAUGCAAGUUGCUAUUUAACCUUCUACAAGGACCGCCUUUGUCAAAUCUGAUUCAACUAAGGUGGGAGAGACACACACCCACCAGCCAUCUUAUGCAACAAAGUUACAUGUGAGUCGAUGGAACUCGGUCUCUCAUACAUGGAUGAGUAAAGUUGGUCUGGGCCGCUUCAUCCCACAAUACCGCUGAAUCAAGAAAAUACUAAGGAGGGUAGCAAUCUGAAUAUCAAUGCCCACAUACUCCUUUGUGUUCUACUGGUGAUGUCAUCUACGCAUAGACCUAGCUCAUGAUGCCAUUGUUGGGAAACGUUGCAUGGGAAACACAAUUUUUCCUACGCUCACCAAGAUAAACCUAGUAGAUGCACAUCUACGAGAAGAGAUAUUAAACCGACAUACCCUUGUAGAUCACUAAGAGGAAGCGUUCAAAAUGCGGUUGAUGUACUCGUACGUCUUCGCGAUCCUAUCACGAUCUGUCCCACGAACUUUCUGACCGAGCACCAAGCGGACGACACCUCCGCGUUCAGCACACAUGCAACUUGAUGGCGUCUCCGCCUCCUUGAUCCCGCAAGCGAGGGUGGAUUGGUAGAUGGGUUCCCUAGCAGCGCGAUGGCGUGACGGUGGUGGUGGUAUAGCUGUCCCGGCAGGGCUUCGCUAAGAACUACCGGAAUAUCUAGAGGAAGAGACGAUCUAGAGGGAGAGGGAGAGGCUGCACCAUCGCGUUGGGUGUUGCAGCCCUCCCUACCUUCUCAUAUAUAUAGGAGGACGGGUGGAGGCCGACGGCCCCUAGGGUUUCCCCUAGGGCUUGGGGCGGCGGCCAAGGUGGCUUGCCCACCAACGAAAGGUGGCGCCACCCAUGGGCAUGCCCUCCUCCUUGCCUUCGGCCGCAUGGGCCAUGGUGGGAGGGGCGGCCAGCCCACCAGGGGCUGGUGUGCCUCCUCUCACAGCCCAUGGGGCCAUACAGGGCAGGUGGACCCUCCCAGUGGACCCCCAGAACAUUUUUGGCACUCCUGUCACAAAACCGGUAUAUCCAGGAACUUUUCCGAACCUUGAAUACCAACUUCCUAUAUAUCAAUCUUUACCUCCGGACCAUUCUGGAGCUCCUCAUGAUGUACAGAAUCUCAUCCGGGACUCCGAACAACUUUCGGUUACCACCACACAUAACUCAUUAAUACCCAAUCUUCACCGCACCUUAAGUGUGCACACCCUGUGGGUUCGAGAAUUAUGCAGACAUGACCGAGACACUCUCUGGUCAAUAACCAAUAGUGGGACCUGGAUGCCCAUAUUGUCUCCUACAUAUUCCACGAAGAUAUUUAUCGGUCAAACCAUGAUGUCAAGGAUUCAAUCAAUCGCAUAUAUUGUUCCCUUUGUCCAUCCACAUGUUAGUUGCCCGAGAUUCGUUCAUACGUAUCUGUAUACCUAGUUCAAUCUCAUUACCAGCAAGUCUCUUUACUCUUUGCUUAAUACAAGAUCCUAGGGCUAAACCUUUAGUCACAUUGCUUGCAAGCUUGUUGUGAUGUUGUAUUAUCGAGUGGGCCCUGAGAUACCUCUUCGUCACACGGAGUGACAAAUCCCACUCUUGAUCCAUGCAACUCAACAGACACCCUCGGAGAUACCUUUAGAGCACCUUUAUAGUCACCAAGUUACAGUGUGGUGUUAGAUACACACAAGGUACUCCUCCGGUGUUAGUGAGUUGCAUGAUCUCAUGGUCAUAGGAACAGAUACUUGACAUGCAGAAAACAAUAGCAAUAAACUCAUACGAUCAUAUGCUACGUUCAUAGUUUGGGUUUUUUCCAUCAUAUCAUUCUCCUAAUGAUGUGAUCCCGUUAUCAAAUGACAACUCAUGUCUAUGGCCGGGAAACCUUGACCAUCUUUGAUCAACGAGCUAGUCCUUUAGAGUCUCACUAGGGAUAGUGUGUUGUCUAUGUAUCCACACAAGUAUUUGAGUUUCCGAUCAAUACAAUUCUAGCAUGGAUAAUAAACGAUUAUCAUGAACAAGGAAAUAUAAUAAUAACCACUUUAUUAUUGCCUCUAGGGCAUAUUUCCAGCAUAAAGAUAUAGACAUAUAUAUCCAACUGAAUGUGGGUGGUCAUGAGUUAUUAUUGUUGACAUCACCCUUGAGGCGAAUACGUUGGGAGGCGACACUAUAAGCCCCUAUCUUUUUAUGUGUCCGCUUGAAACCUUUUGCUCAUAUGUAUGCGGUGAGUGUUAGCAAUCAUAGAAAACUAAAUGAUGGUUGAGUAUGUAGACUUGCUUAAAAGCUCCGAUAUGUGACCCUUCCUGAAAGUAUGAUGAAUUGUGUUGCAAAGUUGACUGAAAACAUAGUUUGUUAGUUUUGAAUAGAUUUUAUGCUUCAUACUUCGAUGUUGUGACGAAUUGCUACUUGUUUAUAAGAAGCCUUUAUGAUGAAAGUUAUAUGAUGAAAAUGUUGUGAUGAAAUAUUUUAUAAAGUUCUACUUGAUGUUAUAAUAAUGAGCAUGAUGCUUCUAUGCCCAUUUUUUGUUUUUAUCGACACCUCUCUCUCAAAUCAUGUGGUCAUUAUUUACAUUAUCGGCCUUUGCUUGAGGACAAACGAGGUCUAAGUUUGGGGUAGUUGAUACAUCAACUUUGCAUCAUGUUUUGUUACUCUUAUUUAUUUUGUUUUUAUGCAUUUUGCCACUUGGUGGAGUAAUACUAACGCAUUUUCUCUCAUAAUAUGCAAGGUUUACAUCAGAAGGGAGAAUGCCGACAUAUGGAAGUUUGGACCAGAAAAAGCUACAUGAGAGAUACCUAUUCUGGACAUCUCCAAAUGGGUGAAACUUUACGUACCUUUAUUUUGGAAUAAAUAAGAAAUAGUGGAGCAAAGAAGUACCAAAGGGGGAUACCAUGCACCCACUAGGCACGAGGGCAUGCUAGCCCCCCCCCCUCACGCGGCGUGAUGUCUAGUGGGCCCCUGGCCCACGUAUGGCGACCAUCUUCUCGUAUAAAAAAUCAGGAGAGGACUUUCGGGACGAAGCAUCACCGUCUCGAGGCGGAACCUGGGCAGGAGCACUUGAAAGGACGUGGAUGUCGCCUAGAGGGGGGUGAAUAGGCGCUUUAAAAUAGUUACGGUUUGGGCUUGAACAAAUGCGGAAUAAAACUAACGUUUAAUUUGUCAAGCACAAAACCUAAAACAACUAGGCUCAACUAUGUGCACCAACAACUUAUGUUAAGAAAGAUAAACAACUAAGUGAUAGCAAGAUAUAUGACAAGAAACAAUAUGGCUAUCACAAAGUAAAGUGCAUAAGUAAAGGGUUUGGGUAAGAGAUAACUGAGGCACGCAGAGACAAUGAUGUAUCCCGAAGUUCACACCCUUGCGGAUGCUAAUCUCCGUUGGAGCGAUGUGGAGGCACAAUGCUCCCCAAGAUGCCACUAAGGCCACCGUAAUCUCCUCAUGCCCUCGGACAAUGCAAGAUGUCGUGAUUCCACUAAGGGACCCUUGAGGGCGGUCACCGAACCGUACAAAUGGCAACCCUGGGGUGCGGUCACCGGUACCCGUACAAAUUGCUCGGGGCAAUCUCCACAACCUAAUUGGAGAACCUGACGCUUGCCCAGAGCUUUACACCACAAUGAUUGAGCUCUGAGGCACCACCAAGCUUCUAGGACUCCAAAGCAUCCAUGAAGAACAAUCUCUAGGGUACUAAGUACCAAAAGGUAAUAAGCUUCUCAAACUUCACUUCCACGUAUCACCGUGGACACCUCAAACCGAUGCAGCUAAUGCAAUGGCAAGAACACACGAAGUGGCCAAGUCCCUCACACUCAAAUCCCUCCACAACAACAAAAGCUAUGGAGAAAUAUGAGAGGAAGAACAAGGAGCUCACAAAGAACUCCAAGAUCUAGAUCCAAGGGGUGCCCCUCACAUAGAGGAGAAAGUGAUUAGUGGAUAUGUGGAUCUAGAUCUCCUCUCUCUUUUCCCUCAAGAACUAGCAAGAAUCAUUGGAGGGAUUGAGAGUUAGAAAGCUCUAAGAAGGUCAACAAUGGGGGGAAGAACAUGAGCUCAACGGAUAGAUCAGUCCAAGGGGGAAGAAGACCCCCUUUAUAUAGUGGGGGAAGGAAUCAGACCGUUACCCCCACUUGCAGCCCGCGCACAGCGGUACUACCGAUGCCCCUAGCGGUACUACCGCUGCCCCUAGCAGUACUGCCGUUGGCGAGGAGCGGUACUACCGCUGUCCCUAGCGGUACUACCGCUGGUGAGGAGCAGUACUACCGCUAGGACACGAUAGUAAAGAUAUUACUCUCGGGCCUACCACCGCUUGGAAAAGUAUUCGCAAAAAGUCCGACGAAGUACAACCGCUCAGAGAGAGGUACUACAGUCCCGAAGCAGUACUACCGCCCACCCGGAGCGGUACUACCGCUAGGGAGCGGUACUACCUCUCGCCAAUGAAACAACCAUAACUUUCGCAUACGAGCUCCGAAUUGAGCAAACUCAAGUUUGUUGGAUUCAGCACGACAAGAGCUAUCCAAAAAGCAAAAACUCCAACAUCGAGAACAUCAUAGUAGAUGCAUAUGGACUCUGUUUUCGAUGAACUCGAGCUUGGCAUGAAGAUGACCAUAAGCUCUAAAACUCAUAAAGAGAAACACCAAAUAAGAACCAAGAAGUAUGAUGCAAGGAUCCAAAUGGUUUGAGCUCUCAACGAACGGUAUGAUCGAGCUACUCGCUUGAGAGACCCCUGUCACGCCCAAGAUGCGACCAUAUCCUCAAUUUGGCACGAGGGCCUCGUCAGGGAUAGAAGCGCAUCUCGUCGUGUCGCAAGAAUGGAUAUCAUUACAAGUACAUGUACUGAAAAGAAGAGAUAUAUAGAAUUGGCUUACACUCGCCACAAGCUACAUCAAAGUCACAUAAGUACAUUACAUAUUCAUCAAGAGUAAGAGCAGGGUCCGACUACGGACGAAAACAAACGACAAAAUAAGACCGACGUCCAUCCUUGCUAUCCCAGGUUGCCGGCCUGGAACCCAUCCUAGAUCGAUGAUGAAGAAGAAGAAGAAGCAACUCCAAAUGAACAAUCAACGCGCUCGCGUCAAGUAAUCUUUACCUGCACCUGCAACUGGUGUUGUAGUAAUCUGUGAGCCACAGGGGACUCAGCAAUCUCAUUUCCAAAGGUAUCAAGACUAGCAAAGCUUAAUGGGUGAGGCAUGGUUAAGUGGUGAGGUUGCAGCAGCGGCUAUGCAUAUGUUUAUGGUGGCUAACUUACGAGUACAAGAAGUAAGAGAGGGAAGAUCUACGCAUAAUGGACGUGAACUACUGUUGAUCAAAUAAAUGAUCCUAAACACCUACCUACGUCAGACAUAACCCACCAUGUCCUCGAUCGGAGAAAGAACUCACGAAAGAGACAGUCGCGGUUACGCACACAGUUGGCAUAUUUUUAAUUAAGUUAAUUUCAAGUUAUCUAGAACCAGUGUUAAACAAAGCUUCCACGUUGCCACAUAACCGUGGGCACGGCUUUCCGAAAGAUUUAACCAUGCAGGGGUGCUCCAACUAGUCCAUCAUAUACCACAAGCCACAUAGAAAUCCUCAAUCACGAAGCUCGCGAUCUCGUCGGAUUCCCUAGUGGAAAACCUCAACUCUGAGAUUACCCAAAGCAUCACCGGAAUCCCGAUGCAUCAAGAUAUUCCGUCAAAGGUAAAAACUAAUCCAGCAAGGCCGCCCGGCGUGUCGACGAUCCCGAUAGGAGCCGCGUAUCUCGUUCUCAGGACACGACGGAUGGAACUAGCUAUGGGUGCCAAACCUCGAGUUUCACUGUGGUGGCCCCGCAGGCAGACCGUUUGGGACCAACACCAUCAGCACUGGCCCCCCCUGUUUAUGUAAAAUUACUCCUCGGGUUCAUGACGCCCUAUGCAUUUCAAUAUUAACAAAGUUAUUAUGUUGGGCAAAUGUAGAACCAAUGUUGGGCCUUGCCGGACCAGCUUUAAUCUAAAAUGAAUUAUCAAGGGGGUCCCCAUAACAACCCCGAUCGUGUUAGGAGAGCUCGUUUAUGGAACAUAACACCGGUAGCCGGAAACUAAGGGGGCAAAGGUGGAACAAAACACCAGGCUAGAAAGGCUGAGCCUUCCACCUUUUACCAAGUAUAUAGGUGCAUUAAAUUAAAUAACAUUUAAAUAUGGUGAUAUAACAAGGAACCCAUGUUUUCACAUGGAAGCAACUACACCUGCAACUAGCAACGCUAACACAGGGUUUAGCAAGCGGUAACAUAGCCAAUCAGUGGUUUGCUAGGUCGAACAGGUUGAAGGUUAUCAUGGCAUUGUUGAGAGGCUGAUAUUUAACAAGUGGUAGGCAACGAGACAUAAUCGAUAGAAACGGUAAAACUAGCAUGGCAAUGAUAGUAAUGGUAUCUCGGGAAAUGAUCAUCUUGCCUGAGAUCCCGCUUGGAAGAAGAACAACUCGGUGGAGUCGGCAAACCAUCGUAGUCGAACGGGUCCUCACAUUCCGACACGCUUGCGGAACUCUAUCAAGAUGAAGCAAACCGGAAACACAAAUCAACACACGAUAUUCACCACAUGAUGCAUAACACAUAUGAUGCAUGAAUGGUCUAAUGCAAGGCAUGACAAUCACAACAAUCAAACACUACACAUUAAGUGAAGCUCGAUAUGCAACGGGUUGCAUAUCGACGAAACUCCACAUUUAAUGGUUUAGUUCACUCCCGUUAAUUUACACGGCAAUAUUUUAAAUGUUGUUAACAUGGCAAGGGGGUGAAGCACUAAUUAAUCUAUCUAUCUAGGCAUUUUAAAUGAGGCCGAAAGCAACUUAUAGCAUCUCCAAAAUGACCCCACACGUUAAAUUCUAAUUCUGUCCAGAUUUGUCCUAAUCACAUUUUAGGUUUGUUAAACGGCCAGAUUUGUCCUAAUCACAUUUUAGGUUUGUUAAACGGAAAAACAAAGUGGUUCACGUGUUUCUAUUCGUCGUUGUGGUCCACUUACAUAUAUGGCACAUCUCCAACGGAGCUACGGACAAAUAGUUACGACCUAAACCGUUUCAACACGUCGACGCACAAACCAAUACAAACUCCACACUAAACAGCUUUAAGCAUGCAUGAGAGUUGAAAAAUAUUAAUCUACGUGAAAUUCUAUAUGUUUUACAUAUCUAACUUAUUCCGAUCCGACGCACGGUUUAAAAUCUACGGCAUUUUAAAAAAAAUGCAUGUGGUGGAAAAUGCUAAAUCUACACAGGUGGAAAAAACCCAUGCAUGGGCCCGAAGCAGCAUAGUGCAGCGGCCCAAGAGUAAAUCGGGGCCAAAUGCCCAUGUGUGUGUGUGUGAAAGAAAAUAAAAGGCAAAGCCAAAAAUUGGGUGGAUCUGGAGUCGAACCCAGAACCUCCCUCGUGUUAGCGCUGCUCACUAACCAGCUGGGCUACGAAGUGAUUGCAACAGUAGAUGGGUUUUUCUCAAAAUGAAAAAGCAAAGGGGCCAACCUGUACCAAUAACAUAACAAACUAAAAAUAGGGGUGCAUGGGAUUUGAACCCAAGACCUUGCGGUUGCACACUAAGGCGCUCACCAGCUGGGCUACAUCGAGCUUUGGAACAAAAUGGAUGUCUACGCGAGAUGAACUAGAAUGUAACUCUGAUUGAACCAAACUGAAUAUACAAACAGACAUGGCUUUCUCUGCUACCGUGCUUGAGGAUGCAGGUCCGUACCAUGUCGCUGGGGAUGCAGGCUGCGGAUGCUGCGGUGAUGCCGGCAUGGGGUCCAGGCGAGGCGAGGGAGGCGGAUCCGGGGCGUCUGCUCCAUUCCCAAAGACGGGGACCGUCGAGGUCGAUCACAGCAACGGCAGCAUGAAGCUCCAUCGGGCUGGCCUUCACACAGAGCUGCAGCGUGCUUCUCUGCAUCACGGGAACAAGGAGAGGAAGAGGUCAAGGGGAGAGAGAGAGGAGGCAGGGAGGGAAGAGAAGGGAGGGGCCUGGCCUGGAUCGCUGCUGGAGGACUGAGCUGCUGGCGCUGGGAGGAACCGCAGCGCUGGUCAACGCGCGGGGAGGCCAGGCGGGCGACGCGCUCGCGCCGGCUCCACACGAGGAGCAUGUGGCGGCGCUGGCACGAGGCGCUAGGAGGUGGCUGUCUCAGCGGGGCCCGAUCUGGAUCCCCAGAUCGCGGGAAGAACGGCCCUGGCGAAGCCACCUGACGCGCGGGGCGGCUCGGUUUUGCCUCCCGAUCUAGAGGCUCGAACCAGAUCAAGCGAAGGCGAUGCUACCGAGGCUGCUGUCGACAGGAGACGCCGAAGGACACGGGCGGAGCCUGCUGCGCGAGCGGGGACGCGGCAUGCGCGGGCUCGGGGAUCGAGCGGAACUGGCGGCUGGCUCGCAAAUCGGGAAGUGACUACGCGGGUUGUCUGGUGGGGAAAACUAGGAAUGGAUCUGGCGCCCGAUUGGGGUGGAGGAAAAAUCGAGGAAGAAGACCAGGUGAAGUGCGGUGGCGGCAGAUGGGACUGAUUGGACUAGGGUUUGCCUGCUUAAAUAAUUAGGUGGGCUUGGAUAGGACUGACUGGACCCUCCGAUAUAAAUCGGACGGUCGAGAAUGAAUAGGCUAGGGAGUCCAAUGGACAAACCGAUGACUGAUUGCGGUAAAACGGGGUUGAUCCGGAUCCAACGGUCACGACCGCCGGGCUCGGGUUCCGGGAGGUUUUCGGACUGGAUUGCGCGUAGGGUCGACGCACUGUGCAGAGGGGCUAGGCAAAGAUGAGAGGGAAAACGAGCAACCCGGUGACAGAGUUUGAAAUACCGCAACGUCCGACAAUUGACCGGCUAUAGUGCCGCUAUAUAAUAAACGGCACGGGUAACAAACUAGCUCCGAUCGCGAUGAAAUUCGACAGACGGCCUACCUACACUAAAUUCAGACUGUACGCCAAGUUCCAGCUCAAUCGGAGAAAGUUUUAAACACGUUAUAAAAACAAGGUCUUGACGAUGCGCGGGCGCGUGCGAGUGUGGUCGGGCGUAGAACGGACAACAACGAGAACCGGCAACUAAUAACGGAUGCAAGUUUUGAAAACUAGCGGCAACGGGAUACCGAUGCAAUGCUGAUGAUGCGCAUGAUGCGAUGAUGAUGCGACAAAUAAAAAUAGACACGCGACGAAAACGGAAAGAGAGGGGAAUCUUCUGGAACAUUGGCAUCGGGCUGUCACAACCCCCUUGACAAUACGUCAAUCUAUCCUAAAACAGAAAACCUAUCAAGGGCAAACCUAUACCUUGCACCUCGUCCUCUUGAGCUAGAUGACGAUGAUCUUGGCUUCCUCAAGAUGGACCACCUUCUUGAUUGUGUUGGCUUGAUGAAGACUAGUUGAUUGCUCCCCCAUACACAACAUGGGUGAGCCGCUCUUCGGCAUAUCUUCACAAGUCCAUUGCCACCACAAUGGAUGACAAGCUUCAAUCAUGAUAUCUUCGUGCUGAUCCACUUGAACUUGCAAACCGCAAUCUUGAUGACGAUCACAACUUGAUGUCAUCCUUCAUGGGCUGUAUGAGAUCUUCCUCUAGACGCAAGCCCAUGGAAACACACCUAACCCCACAUAGAACUCUCACGAAGACCAUGGGUUAGUACACAAACACGUAAUGAACAAUGCUUACCAUACCAUGGGAUCACUUGAUCCCUCUCGGUACAUCUUGUACGCUUUGUGUGUUGAUCAUCUUGAUUUACUCUUUGUCUGACGAUCUUGAUCAACCUUGUGUCUCUAUGACCAUUCUUUGGAUAAUACCUUGAAUACCACCUUAGUCAUCAUAUAAACUCCUUGAACCCAACAGAUGGACUUCAAGAAGUUCCUAUGGACAAAUCCUAAAAAUAUAACUUAAGGCAACCAUUAGUCCAUAGGAAUUGUCAUCAAUUACCAAAACCACAUAUGGAGAAAUAUGCUCGAACAACACUUUUGCCCUCCGGCGGAGCGAUUCCGCUGGACGAACUUCCCUCCCGAAGGGGGAAAUCGAGGCCAUCAUCAUCACCAACAACCCUCUCAUCUUGGGGAGGCCAUUCUUCAUCAGCGCCAUCUCCUCUCAAAACGCUAGUUCAUCUCUUGUGCUCAAUCUUGUACCGGAACCUCAGAUUGGUACCUCGGGUGUGACUAGUAGUGUUUAUUACAUCUUGUAGUUGAUGCUUUAUGGUUUAUUUGGUGGAAGAUCAUAUGUUCAGAUCCAAUAUGCUAUUUAAUACCUCUCUGACCAUGAGCAUGUUUAUCACUUUUGAUUAGUUGCCUUUGUUCUUGACGCCACGAGACAAGUCAUGUUGCAAGUAGUCAUGUGAAGUUGAUAUUUUGAUGAUAUGAAUGUUGUGGUUCCCUUAGUGGUGUUAUGUGAACGUCGACUACAUAGCACUUCACCAUCUUUGGGCCUAAGGGAAUGCAUUGUGGAGUAGUAAUUAGAUGGUGGGUUGCGAGAGUGACAGAAACUUAAACUCGAGUUUAUGCGUUAUUCCGUAAGGGGCUAAUUUGGAUCCCUAUGUUUAAUGAUAUGGUUAGAAUUUAUUCUUAAUACUUUUCCAUAGUUGUGGAUGCUUGCGGGGGGGAGGGGGUUAAUCAUAAGUGUGAGGUUUGUUCAAGUAAGAACAACACCCAAUCACUAGCCCACCCACAUAUCAAAUUAUCAAUGUACCAAACGUGAAUUAAUCCAAUAUUAGGAAAGUGUCUAGAUGAAAUUUUUGUGUGCCCUCAAGAACGGUUUGCCUAUUAUAAUUAGUUGUUCCUGCCACAUAAGGAUUGGGCUACCAUGGUGCACCUAUUGUUACUAUUAUUACUUGGAACUUGUGUGACAGCCCGAGACCGACGCUCCAGAAGAUUCCCUUUUAUUUCAUUGACGCCGUGUUAUAAUUGUCUGUCGCAUUUAUCAUUGCAUCAUUCGCAUCAUCUGCAUUGCAUCAACACUCCGUUGCCACCAGUUUCAGACUUCCAUCCGCUAUUAGUUGCCGGUUCUCUCCGUUAUAGACAUUGAUCGUUUUGAGUCUGACCACACACGCACGCGCCCGCGGCACCGUUCAAAUCCUGUUUUUAAAAGUGUGUUUGAAAUAUUCUCAGGUUGUGUUGAAACUUGGCGUGCGGUAUUAUUUUAAUAUAGGUAGACCACCUCGCAAUUUUCGUCGCAAUCGGAGUCCGUUUGAUACCCAAACGUCCGACCGUAGCGGUACCGACAUCGGCUUAUCAUCACACGUUUUCGGUGUUUUAAAACUCUGUCACCGGGUGCCCGUUAUCCCCUCUCAUCUCAGCCUACACCCCUCUACACGGCCUAACCUAAUCUUAGGAUGUUUCCGGAGCCGUCCGAUCGAGAUUGGAGGGUCCGAAAAUGCCCGAAACCCUAACCCUGGCCCCUCUGUCUAUAAAUAGACAACAUUCCUCUCUCUCCCUUGUUUCCCGUACCUCCCCAAACCCUAGUCGCCACAGCCAGCCUCCUCCCACCUCCUGCCAACCGCCAGGACCUGCCCGAGCCCAGAUCCGGCCCUCCCCGGGCCCGGGUCGCGUCGCUGCCAGCCGCCCAAAGCUGCCUCCAACCCAGCUCCUCCUGUGCACUUCCCCGAGCUCCUCCUGAGCAGGAGCUAUUGCGCCUCCCAUGUAUUUUAUAGUAGUUCCUUACAUUUUUGCAUGCAGGAGCCGACAAUAGUUUGCCAUGUCGUGUUUAGGACAUAUUCUUGCAUACAUGUGUGGCGUUAGUUUUAUUUUGCAUCCCCACAUAUUAUAUAUGCUUUGGGGGUAGAAAAAUCCAUAGAAUUUAACUAUGCGUUUAGUUUUGCCGUCCGAGUAAUUUUGCGUGCAUGAUAUCUUGCCAUGUUGCCCUCUUAUUUAUUUUAUGGGAUUUAUUCCGUGCGUGAUAUGAAUUAGUUGUGAACUAGAGAUAUGCCCUUGGAUAUGUAUGCUAGCCCCUAGUAAUUUUGGUUGCUUUAGAAAUCCAUGUUUAGGUGUUGUUUGCUUGUCGCCAACAUGCUAGAAAUAGUGCUGAUUUGGAGAUGCUGAAAUAUUUCUAAGUCUGAGAUCUGUUAUAUUUUGUUGUUGUCUUGCCAUGAGUUUUGCUAGUGAUCUACAGCUCCUUUGAGGUUGGUGCAAUGGAGUUAAUUGUAGUACUUAAGAUUCACUAGCAUGCUGCCAAUUUUCAUGCCAUUCGGUGCCCCGUAGAAUAAAGUUUUACUGCUGUCAAUAUGCCUUCUGGUUGAAAAUUACACUGUCAAAACUGUUAUUUUCUCUAAGUCUGAAACUGUGUGCGAGAUGCCAUUUUGUGAAUUCUUUUCCUAGUGACCCAUGCUUCCAUGCUAGUUGUUUUUACUAGAGUGUUGUUGUGCAUCUUGAUCACUACUGCCUCAUGUUUUGUUUGCAUGUUUUAGAAUUAUGUUGUUGUUGUUUUAGGGUGCGGAAAAUGCCAUGUCGUUGUUUUUCGCAGAUUGUAGCUAUUUCUUGUUUUUCUUUUAUUUGUUGAACCGUUGCGCCGUUUUGUACGUGUCAUAUAUGAAACUUUCUUAGAAUCUCGUGUAGUUUCAUAUUAUAUUGCUGCUUGUAUGGUUUAUAAUGCUUGUGGUUGUCAUUUGCAUACAUACUGCAUUCAUGUCAUCAUAUCUUGCGGUGAUCAUAUCUUUUGAACCGUAACUCCGUUUGCAAUGAUCUCUAUGUGUUAAUUGAUUGAAACGACGCGUAGAAUCACGUGAACCACUUUAUUUUUUUGUUUAACAAAUAUUAAAAUAUGUUAGUUCAGAUCUGGACAUAUUCUAAUUUAACGCGAGGGGUCGUUUCGGAGAUGUUAUAUGUCGUUUCUGACCUCAUUUAAAAUGCCUAGAUAGGUAGUUUAGUUACGCUUCACCUCUUGCCAUGUUUAACAACAUUUAAUAUUGCCAUGUACCUAAUCAGGAUAGAACUAAAUAAUUCAUAUGUGGAGUUUCAUCAAUAUGCAACUCGUUGUAUAUUGAACUUCACUUAAUGUGUAGUGUUUGAUUGUUGUGGAUGGCAUGCCAUACCCUGCACAACUGUAUCCGAUCAUGCAUCAUACGUGUUGUGCAUUAUGCCGUGCAUGUGCCGUGGUGAAUUUCGUGUGUUGAUUCUUGUUUCCGUUUGCUUCGUCUCGAUAGAGUUCCGCAAGUGUGUCGGAAUGUGAGGAUCCGUUCGACUACGUCGGUUCGUCUACUUCACAGAGUCAUUCUUCUUCCAAGCUGGAUCCAAGGCAAGAUGAUCUUUUCCUUAGAUACCAUUACUAUCAUUGCCAUGCUAGUCUUAUCAUUUCUAUCGUUAUGUCUCGCUGCCUACCACCUGUUAAAUAUCAGCCUCUCAACAUUUCCAUGAAAACCUUCAACCUGAUCACAACCUAGCAAACCACUAAUUGGCUAUGUUACCGCUUGCUUAACCAUAAGUUGGCAUUGCUAGUUGCGGGUGUAGUUGCUUCCAUGUGAUAACAUGGGUUCCCUGUUAUAUCACCAUAUUAAUGCUAAUUAAAUUAAUGCACCUAUAUACUUGGUAAAAGGUGGAAGGCUCGGCCUUUCUAACCUGAUGUUUUGUUCCACCUUUGCCGCCUUAGUUUCGGCUACCGGUGUUAUGUUCCAUAAAUGAGCGCUCCUAACAUGCUUGGGGUUGUUAUGGGGACCCCCUAGAUUCUCGUUUUGGGAUAAAGCUCGUCUGGCAAGGCCCAACAUUGGUACUAUAUUUGCCAACAACAUAAUUCUGUUAAUACUAAAAAACAUAGGGAGUUAGCGCUACCCGAGGAGUAAUUCAACAUAAUACAGGGAGGGCCAGUGCUAAUGGUGAUGGUCGAAAAUAGAGCACCGUGCGGGACCAACCCGGGGCAACUCGGGUGAUGUCUAUCAGGCCAUCCUACACUUCGCUUAUCUGUCAUGCCUGAGAACGAGAUACGCGGCUCCUAUCGGGAUUGUCGACACGCCGGGCGGCCUUGUGGGACUUGUUUUACCUUUCUCGAGCGUCUUGCGCGUGGGAUUCCGAGGAUGCUUUGGGUUAUCUGGAGGUUGAGGUUUUCCAAUAGGAACCCGAGUAGAUCAUGGGUUUCCCUGAUCGAGGUCAUUCUGUCGCAGCGUGUGGUAGUUUGUGAUGGACUAGUUGGAGCACCCCUGCAGGGUUAAAUCUUUCGGAAAGCCGUGCCCGCGGUUAUGUGGCAACAGGGAAACUUUGUUUAACAUCCGGUUCUACAUAACUUGAAGUUAACUUAAUUUUCCAACUGAGUGCGUAACCGUGACUGUCUCUUUCGUGAGCUCCUUCUCCGAUCGAGGACACGGUGGGGUUAUGUCUGAGGUAAGUAGGUGUUCAGGAUCAUUCAUUUGGUUAUCACUAGUUCACGUCCGUUAUGCGUAGAUCAUCCCCCUCUUUUAUUCUUGUACUCGUAAGUUAGCCACCAAAUAAAUGCUUAGUCGCUUGUUGCAGCCUCACCACUUAACCAUACCUCAUCCAUUAAACUUUUCUAGUCUUGAUACCUUUGGAAAUGAGAUUUCUGAGUCCCCUGUGGCUCACAAAUUACCACAACACUAGUUGCAGGAACAGGUAAAGAGUUACUUUGACGUGAGCACGCUGAUUGUGCUAUUUGGAGUUUCUUCAUCUUCAUUAUCGAUCUAGGAUGGGUUCCAGGCCGGCAGCCUGGGAUUGCAAGGAUGGACGUCGUUCUUUUAUCGUUUGUUUCCGUCCGUAGUCGGACCGUGCUCUUCUUCAUGAUGAUUGUAUGUAUUAUACUGGUGUGACUCUGAUGUAGCUUGUGGUGAGUGUAAGCCAACUCCUUAUACUCAUCUUUUCAGUACAUGUACUUGUAACAAUAUCCAUUCUCGUGAAACGACGAGAUGCGUUUCUAUCCCUGUCGAGGCCCUCGUGCCAAAAUAAGAUUAGGACCGCAUCUUGGGCGUUACAACUUGUUACCGCUAUUUCAGUGCUUGCAGAAAUUGCCUUGCUAAAAAUCGCUUGUCAUUUCCAUCCGCUCCUCGUUGGGUUCGACACUCUUACUUAUCGAAAGGACUAUGAUUGAUCCCCUAUACUUGUGGUUCAUCAGGUACCAAUCAAUUUUACAUUCUAGAUAACGAACUUCAAAACUUUGGUGAGAGAAAGAAACCCAUGGAAGCAUGAUGUUGAAACAUUUGAGCGCUUCAGUCCACCAAGCUACUCAUAACAGUCACCAAUGUAUUAUUUUUCGCAACUUUACAUUUUUAUGAAGGAAGCAACUUUAUCUCAUUUUUGUGAUCUCAUUUGUCCUCCCUAUUUUUUCUCGCAGAUUUGGUUGUGGCAUCUUUCUAUUCUAUACAUGGAGAAUUUAACUGCCAAGGGGUUGAAGCCAUUCAAUAGAGUAUGAUUCACACUCCUUUUUCUCUAUUUUCGCAAUCUAUGCAACACUAGUAGUACAAAGACACUGUGCAACACUAGUAGUAAAGAAACACUGUGCAACACUAUAAUCAUUUUUGUGAAAUCAUCUUUUCUGCAAUAGUAUUUUUUUCCUAGCUAGUAGUUUCUCAUGAUCUGUUUUUCUUGUUGUGUAUGCUCAAGACAAAAAUCCUUGCUCAACUUCCAGAAGUACAUUGCCGCAAAGUUUUUCAAGCACCUGCAAAACACCCUCGGCUCAGAGGAGGAGUUCCAAGCCCUGCUGAAAAGGUCAUAAAUUGAUGCGAACCCUCAACCACAACAGGACCUUGCUAGUAGUUAGGCCUCUUUUUUCCGGUGCAUGUAUGUGCGACAUGUUUGUAACCGAGCUCUCUAGUAGUCCAUGGAACUAAAUUUUUGGAUAAGAAUGUGUCAUGCUCGGGCAUGCCCCCUUUUUCCUCUUGUUUUUUGUAUGCUGGAGCUUUAUAGAUGCAACCAAUUUUUUGCUAAUGCUUCGGUGUUGCAUACCUAUAUAAGUGUAGACAUGAUAAUCAAAUGGUUGUUACAUUUUCCUAGUGUGUAUCAUUUUGGGGUAUGGGAGCACUUGCUGCAUGAUAAUUCUUUCAAUGGAAAAAUCUUCUAUUACCAUCGUCUCUCUGUAGCAUGAUCCUUUGAUCUAUAUUAUACCCUAGCAAAAUCAACAAUUGACUGCAUUUUCCCAUCACAACAUCAUGUCCGUGUAAUAUGAACACAUGAAUACAUGUUCCUGUAACAUCACCCAAAUGAUAGUCCCUUCAUGUAAGAUUAUGUUUUUCUUGAAAUAAGAAUACAUUAUCUAUUUUUCAUGGAUGCAUCCCUCGAGCAAUCUAACCACAUAAGCUAUUUUUCAUAAUAUUUUUUUUGCCAAAUGAAAAACUUGGUGAUGUACUGGAAACAUAACCCAACUGAAAAUACAUGUCACAACAUCAUGUUCGUGUAUCAUGUCUUGCAAAUGCAAUUUAUACGUCAUCAAGUUUGCAAAAUAGAAGUUCAUGUAUCAAACACGGGGAGCAAGUACAUAUUGCUUUACAAGAUGAAAAGAAAACAAAAACGCGGCUGUCGGGGGUCUUCCCCAUGUUUCUCUCAUUUUUUUGUCUAGAGCUUCACUUGCAUCACUUGGGCAAUUUUUGGAUCAUUUGCCAUCACGUCUCUCAAGUACUAACAUUCUCGUACUGCAUGUCCAGCUCUAGAGCAGAACUAGCAUUUUGGGGGUGCUGUCGCCGCCUCCAUCGUAGCUUUUAGGGGGCACAUGUUUGGAAAUUGUGUCCUAGUUUGUUGCAGUGCUUGCAGGGAACAAUCCUAUUUACACCUCUUGGCUUUCCUGAUGUCGUUGCCUUAUUCUCUUCUUCUUUUGCCUUCUUUUCUUGUUCAUCAUCUCGCUGCUCUACUAGCGUCUUAUUUCUCUUCUCUCUGUCAGUUUAUCAGCCUUUCUUAGGGACACGAGUUGGGUUUUGUAGCAUAUCCGAACUUUGAUAUUAUCGCAGGUUAUCAUUCAAUGUUAUCGUUGUUGCAGCGGGUGAUGUUGGGGGUUCACUAUGUUGUAUUUCUUGUUGAUCUGGAAGUGCUCCUGUCUUCACCGCUGUUAUGGCAGGCUCAAGAACUUUUAAUGCUUCAUAUAAUAUUUUGUAGGCAUCAUCAUUGCAACAUGCAUUACAGGCAAGCCAUGUUAACCUUGGAUACAAGGAGUUGUAUUUUAGCGUGUUUGUCGUGGGGUGCCCAAAGUCCAGCCACCGACCAGUCCUUCGAUGCUUGUUGUGGCUGAUUCAAACCACCUCUCCAACAUGUAUUUUUGCGGAAUUACUUAGACAUUGAGAUGAACCAUUUCCCUUAUUAUGUGUGAACAAAUCAGCCCAUUCAUCUCAAAGUAGUGGCAGCUAUAUCUAGACACCCCUUCAUCCAUCAUAACAUGCAUAGAAUAUAGCUUUGGGUUCUCAUGGGAGCUUGAUUUUAGCUCAAACAAGAGGCCUUGCCCUUGGUAGUCACUGUCUUGGUUGAUAAUAAAAUCGAUAGAUGCAGUCACAUAUUUCUCAAACUUACCAAAGACGCUACAAGUGUAGUAAGCAGCAAUUUGGCAGUCAAUGUUGUACCUGCAACAUCAUAAGAAAUUGGUCACAAACUAGAACAUAGUGGCAUAGUUGUUGUUUCACAAGUGAAUACAGAAUUGUCCUCACGAUUAAGCAUAGUUUCUUGGUAGUUGGCACAUUCAUAUUAAUGCAUAAACCUCCGAACAAAAUCAGCGGGUCAAAUCAGGGUCUUGAAAUAUGAGUUGAGCCCCUCAUGCAUGCUUGUUGUGCUCGCGAAUGGGAAGAAUUUGUUCUUGAAGUAUGUUGGAGCCUAAUAUGUCUCCAACGUAUCUAUAAUUUUUGAUUGUUCCAUGGUGAUAUAUUAUCUUUUAAUAAUACUUUUUGGGUAUUUAUUUACCAAUUUCUAUUAUUUUAUAGCGCUAAUCUAUUUACCCAGUGCUCAGUGUCAAUUGUCGUUUUCUGCAUGCUUUUCACUUUUCAAGUUUUCCAUACCAAACGAAGUCCAAUUACCCUGAAACUUAAAGAAGACCGGGGAGUAUCCGAAGAAGGCUAGAGGCCGCACGAGGGGCCCACACGCCAAUAGGGUGUGGCCUAGGGGUGCCCUGAUGGCUUCUGCCUCCCUCGUGGCCCUCCUGAUUCCAUUCUAUGGCUUAUAAAUUCUCAUCUGCCCUAAAAACAUCAGAAGGAGUCCUCAAACACUUUUUACACCAUCGCAAGUCUCUGUUCUGACGGGAGGCCAUCUGGAGCUCCGUUCCGGCACCCUCCCAGAGGUGUGAUCGAUCACGGAGGGUCUCUUCAUCAACCUUGUUGCCCUAACGAUGAUGUGUGAGUAGUUCACCACAGACCUAUGGGUCCAUAGCCAGUACCUAGAUGGAAAUCUCUCUCUCUCUCGCUCGCUCUCUCUCUCUCACUCUCUCUCUCUCUCUUAUCUUCAAUACAAUGAUCAUCGCAUCUUCGAUUUGAUCCACAUGAUGUAAUUCCUUUUGUGUAGUGCAUUUGUUGGGAUCCGCUGAAUUGUGGGUUGAUGUUCAGAUUAUUCAUUAUUAAUAUUUGAGUAUCCUAUGAAUACUUAUAUGGUUCUUUUGUGCAUGAUUAUGAUAGCUUCGUAAUUCUCUCCGAUCUAUUGAAAUUGUUUGGCCAACUAGAUCGAUAUUUCUUCGGUGUGAGAGGUGUGUUGUGGUAGGUUCAACCUCGAGAAUUUCUAUAUCCCAGUGGCAGAAGGGGACAAGAUGUGUCUUUGUGUUGCUUCUACUAAGUAUAAAAUGAUGGGGUUUAUACAUAUUGCUUGAGUUUACCUUAUGUACAUCAUGUCAUUGUUCUCCAUGCAUUACUUUGAUUUACUUAAUACUCUAGAUGCAUGUUGGAUAGCGGUCGAUGAGUGGAGUAAUAGUAAUAGGUGUAGGCAGGAGUUGGCCUAUUUGUUUAUGGACGUAAUGCAUAUAUACACAUGAUCAUUGCCAUGAAUAUCACAUAACUAUCCGCUUUUCUCUCAAUUUCCCAACAGUAAUUUGUUUACCCAUCGUAUGUUGUUUUUCAUGAGAGAUGCCAUUAUGGAAAACUAUAGCCUCCCGGUUUAUUCACGAGAUAUUGAUAAAACCUUCAACACCUUGCUGCCAUUUACUUGUUUUUAUUUUAUCUUGCUAUCUGCAAUUCUCUACACACCUCACUUUCUUGCAAAUAACAAUACAAGAGGAUUGACAACACUCUUGCCCGCGCUGGGUGCAAGUUGGUUGUUCUUUUGUGUGCAGCCGCUGAAGUGGGUUGUGGUUGAUAUUCCUAUUGGUCCGAUAAACCUUAGUUUCAUAACUCAGGGAAAUACUUACCCACAUUGUGGUGCGAUAACCUAUUCCUCUUGACGGAAAACCCAACACACAUCACAAGUAUCAGAGCCCAUGUGUGCCUUGUGCACCACAUGUUCUUCAUAUGUUUGUUCCCAUCCACUUGAGAACAAUGCAACAUGUUCUACCUUGUUUCCUGAAAUUACUCAACAAUUUCAGAUUAAUUGACAAAAGUGUAAAAGUAAAACACAUCUGCAAAUGCCUCAUCUCCGCUCAACACCGUUCCCAACUCAGAACGUGCAUUGCUAAGCACAUGAAACUUGCAACACCUAUGACAAGUGUUUGGGAACACGUGAUCAGAGGUUGCUGCCAUCGCUACGUCCUGGUUAGUCACGAUGUUGGUAGGAUGCUCAUUAUCCAUCGCAACCAUCCACUACUCAAACACCCACUUAAAUGUUUCAAUAGUUCCAUCUGGCAACAAGGCGUACCCGAGUGCAAUUUUAUGGAGGUCGUUGUUGACACCAACUAUAGGAGCAAAUGGCAUGUUAUAUCAAUUGAUGUAGAAGGUUGCUUGAAGAAUACACAAUCUUUAUAUUUCGGGUGUAAUGACCUUGCUCUCCCAUCAACCCAAAAUAAGACAGUCAUUAAGUGUGUUGCAGCAUCUUACUGCUUCGCAUAGAAAAACUCUAGAUUCUCAGCCUUCCUCCUCUCAAAGUACUUCACUGACAUAUCCAUGUCUCGGAAUGUUAACCCUUCCCGGAGUGUUUAUUUGAAACAUAUCUCUUCACAUAUGGCAGUAUCCUAGUGUCACCUCCACGGAUACUACCAAGGACGCCCAUGCAAUCUGAAUUUGAGAGGCUCACAUCAUCCAACAUGAACAAGAGUUGGUAAUCCUCGACAGGUAUGCUGCGGUGCGAGCGGUGGUACCUAACACGCUUCAGCUGUUCCAUCAGUGGAUGCGUAUGCUCCCCAACAAAGCAAGUCACUAUCCAUCUCUCCUCCCUUAGCCAACAAACAUAUGCGUCUUACAAUCAUGACAGAGCAUCCUAGUUUUUGACGUUUUCUUGUUACAUCCAUCCCUUCACUAGGUUGACUUCUAGAGUUGUUCUUUUCCGCUGCAAUGCUCUCUCAUGUGCUUCUCGUUUCAGUUUUACCGGGCUUUGUAGCGUGCCCACAUGCAAAUACCCUCUUUAUCAGUAUUGCAUCCUCUUUCUUCUGGCCUCUCUUCUGAUUGAAUUUGAAGUAGAUAUAUGUGUCCCGAACCCCAACUUGAAGGCAUAGUCUUUGUAGAACUUCUUAGCAUCCUCAACUGUGUCAAACACCAUCCGAACAUAGGGCAGUACUGGCUGCGCCGAAACAUCUCCAUCAUCUGAAUCAUCUCGGAUUGCAUGUUUAGAAUAGAACAAUCCCUCUGAAUCUUCAUCACCACCAACAAAAAAAUUGCCUUGGACAUUGCUCCCUUCCCUUUAGUUCCAGGUUCAUGCAACACAGUUGUUGUGCAACAUUCAUUUCAUCUCUCCAUGGAAUCAACACAUUUUUAUCUUGUUUUAGAAAAUCAGAUACACAACAGAAACAUGCAACAUACUCAAAUCAACACAAACUCCACAUUUUAUCUUAUCAUUUUUUCAGGGGUCCAUGAACAUGCAACAUACACAAUCAAAUCACACCAGAAACAUGCAACAUACUCAAUGUGUUUUUUCUGAAACAUCAUACACAAUGAAAUCAAACCAAAGACAUUGUUCUGUUAUCAACAACAAGUUUCAGAACAUGGAAGAAUGCAACUAAAAAUUUUGAGGCUCAUAUUUCACACAUACAACAAGCAGGACAUGUGGAAUACAUCUAAUGUUUCAGAAAAUUUGGAGCCUCAUGUGCAACUAAAAAUUUGGAGGCUCGUUGCUUUGUUUGUUCACAAAGGGUUUCAUGUUUGAGAGUGGAACAUAGCUAAUGUUUCAGAAACAGGAUCUCACCGAGGAUUGUUGAUGGGAUUUGGUCAAUGGAGCUUCAAAAAACAGCACCAAGGGAUUUGUGAACCAAGAUGAAACACCAACUCAUGACAAAAGCCCCUGGGUGGCGCUUGGUGCUGAGAAAGAUGGUCGUGCUUGUUCUCGAAUUAGGGCUCCUCUGUGAGCUAGAUUUGCGUAGGAUCCCACCAUCUCGUGCGCGAUAUGUUGCGCCAUGGUGUUGCAGAGAGGUCCCCCACGUCGGUGACGGGGGAGGCGCCGCGCUGGACACGGGUCUAUCGGGGCCGUGGACAAUGCGGUUGUUUUUGCAACAGCUUUCAUGUUGCGGGAAUUAGGGCACGAGAUCGAUCGAACACUGUCGGCGCGGAGAUCCAGCCACCAUUAUCGCCCCUUUUUUAACUCCUCAAAUUUGAUGAGUUGAGCCUCUCUUUUUUUAAGGGGCUAAAUUUUAGUAUGUCAGUUAGAAAUGUCUAGGUGCAAUGGUAUGACAUGAUCACACGACAAAGAAACUAUCCAUGGUAACAAAAAUGCAAAGAUACUGGUCAUGUAGCGAUCAGUGAUCUUGGGUAGGAAUGUAUCCACUUUGAUUCGAUUUGGGAUCAAUUCGCAGAAACGAGACAUGAUCACAGCCCCUGACCUGAAAAAUCACGGCUGGCCCAUCCCCAUCCACGGACUGAGCACGCUUGACUGUGAGAGUCUGCGCGUGCACUACGGCCAUGCCAUUGCCAUGUACUCCCUUCGUUUUCUUAGUCCGCAUAUAAGAUUUGAUCAAAGUCAAACUUCAUAAACUUUGACUAAAUUUACUAAAUAAAAUAUCAACAUUUAUAAUAUCAAAUCAAUAUUAGUAGAUGCAUCAUAAUAUUAAUUUUCAUAGCAUAUAGGUUUAGUAUUAUAGAUGUUGAUAUCUUUUGAUAUAUAUUUGAUCAAACUUUGUAUCACUUGACUUUGAUCAAUUUUUAUAUGCAGACUAAAAAGAAAUGGAGUGAGUACUCUGUACUAUUCACACACCACAGCGCACCACUCCCCGGGGAAAGGAUAGACAAACACGUCGCUGCACGCACGGCCUCCUGCCAUCUGGCCACCAUGAUCUGAGCUCCAUUGGCCGCCGGACCGGAGCGCCAAAAUUCUGGAGGAGAAUGUAUCGAGGAAGACGACGACGACGACGACGGCGCAGUCCAAAUCAACGGAAGCUUCGAUCCAAACCCCAUCAUCUGUUUCUGGGGCCAAUUCUAUUUUUACAGCGGAGUCCUAAUAUUAAUAUGGAAGCUGACAAAAAAACUUCAGGGUCCGAAAUUACAGACAGGCUAAUUAUAAUCAAUCAUACUCCUAUACGCCUACUAUCCAGCGGUACAGGCCCAUGAGCCCCGCCUCGUCCUCGUCCGCCGCCCGCGGCGCCGCCAUCGCCGCCGCUUCGGGGUCCCACCGCCAGGAAUCCUCCUGCCGGUGGCUAUGGUGUCCCUGGCUCCACCGCGCGCUCCACCGCCCGGAGAGGGAUGACGCCGAGGAGGCCAGCCGGUCCACGUACUCCCGUAGCCACCCUCGCGACCCCGCCGCCUCCGCCAGCGCCUCGCCCGGGCCCUGCUGCGGCGCGGCGCGCUGCCCGGCCACCCCCGACUUGGCCGCCGCCGCGGGGCGCGCGAUGCGCGCCACCACGGCCUCCACCUCCUCGUCCACGCGGUAGUCGAAGGAGCCGAGGGAGUAGGUGCGGCGGUCGUCCCCCGCGGCGGACGAGCGCCGGUUGCUCACGCUGCCGAUCUCGACGCGGAAGCUCCUGGACGCGUUGCUGCUGCUCCUCGCGUCCAGCGNNNNN
RNAcentral lists this long non-coding RNA (47248 nucleotides) under Hordeum vulgare. RNAcentral's name for it is "long non-coding RNA (HVUL_LNC016480)". Lineage: Eukaryota; Viridiplantae; Streptophyta; Magnoliopsida; Poales; Poaceae. The record is from RNAcentral.